GAGAGAUUGUGGAGAGAGGUAUUUUCUGGAGGAGAUAUUUUUGAGGAGCUUUUGGGCUGGAUAGGCAAGUGAAGCUGAUGAGGGGAUUCUUUCAGAAAAGGUUUUGAGUUGGGCGUCUCCCAGAAAGGUGAUAAAAAUAGAGUUUGAAGUCAGGCGAGCUUUCAUUGGUGAGGAGGCUUUCCAGGUAUGGACUCUGCUCAUCAUCUUCUCCAUCUUGUUUUGGAUAUCAAUGAGCUUCCAUCUUGGUGUUUGAAUAUGUUUGCUAUGGAUUUCACUUGACUCAGCUUUGAAUUCUAACCUGUUUUUGUGUCCUUUGUUUUGAGAUCUCUUAUGAGAUGUUGGCAUUCCCACAUUUGUUUUUGUCUUAAAACUCAUUUGAAAAAUCGUUUUGACCCCCUCCUACAUCUGAGCUCAUUGAUUGAUAUGUGAAAUGAAGCUUGUAUGGAUUCAUUUGGUCCCCAUUGUUUGUGUUUUUCUUUGGUCAUCUUCCCCUGUUCCUGGUGCUCAUCCAUGACAUGCACCUGAUUCAUCGUCUCCACGUUAAGAAGAUAUAUGAGAGCUGUCAGUGGGUCAUUCUGGGUCUAUUCUACCUCAGUGUGCUCUUAUUGGUUGAGAAUCUCCAGUUUUUGGUUCGUUUAAUGGCAUCUGAAUGGCCGACAGUAUUAAUUGCAUCAUUGUGGUAUGGGAUGGCAAUGGAAAACUAAAAGCAGAGGAUGGUGUUUUCUUACGUUAUUUGAACUGUGUAAAGGAGCUUUUCCGGGGAAAAAUAAUCGUUAUGAAAUUUGUCAUUCAGAGCCAUGUGGGGAUUGCAACUUAAUGCCAAGCGGGAUUAGGCCACAUGCCAUGCUAGGGAUUGUGUACCAUGCUUGGUGCUUGUCAAUCAAAAAUGUCGUUGUGGGUCAAUAUCAAAAUACCAUGAAGCCACAACGGAGGAGAAAAUUACCUGUGAGAAGCUUUGUGAGUGGAAGGAGAACUAUGGAAGACACUGUUGUAGUGAAUGGUGUUGUGCUCUCUCUGAUUUUCUGGCAAUGUUCUCUCUGGCGAUUGGGAUCCGCAUUUAUGUGCAAUGACAUACAGAAAGAAACUAAAGUGUGAGCAGUCCUCUUGGGAAACUUUUUUGUCUUAGUGGCCAUUUCCUGGAAACAGUCUUUACUGAUUUAACCUGUGAACGUGGGAGGAUUUUAAUGGCUCCUUCAUUUCCUUAUGACAUCCCCACUCCAAAAUCCACCCAAAGCCUUCUGCCAGUCCACUCAUUGCCCAUUUCAUACCCAUUUCUAUUACUACCACUCUCUCUCUACACCACCAUGCACUAUGUCAUCACUCUCACUCACUCAAUAUGCCCCUUGCUGCAGCCGUUUUAUCAUUGAAUCCACUUUCCUUCACCACUUUCCAUUACCCUUUGUAUCAUUCUCUCAUCACCCGCUUGCCUUCGAUCUUGUCACGUACGUGGAGUCUCAUGCAUGCACGACUGUCUAUCAUACACUAUCUCAUCUUCCAUGCUUCUAUCUCAACCCCAUGCCAUCCUACCCAUAACCUCAUGCAUGACUGAACCCAUUCAUACCCCAUCACCCUCUGUUCGUUUCCUACAUCCUGCGUAACCUCCAAAAUCCACCCAAAGCCUUCAUCCCUAUUCCCAUGCAAAUACUUCACUAACCACUACCCUACUCUCUAAUGCCCAUCUGACUCAUUCUUUUCAUCACCACCCCACCUUCAUUAUUUCAUACCCAUACAUACCAUCAAUUCAUCCAAUACCCACCAUAUCCACCAUGUUCGUCUUUCCACAUCAUACACCUUCCAUACCCAUUCUCCCUAACUUUUAUACUAACAUAUGCCCAUCACCUACAUAUCCAUCUCCAUGCUCGCUCCUAUCUCUACACUGCCACCCGUACCCAUUAAGUCCACUUCUUGCAAUAUGGCAUGCACCUAGUCCCCCACUCACUUCUUAGUACUUUUCAUUUCCCAUUCUUCCCUAGACACAUGCAUGACCGUCCUUAGGUGUUUCACUUCCCGCACCUCAUCCCUUCAAACUCUCUGCCAGUGAACCCAUUUGUUCGGAAGAAGUGGGCGUGCUUAUGACCUGUGGAGACUGGAACUGAAGCAAAAAGUGCUUUGUUGCAUGACAAGGAGAAUGGGAAAUUCGAUCAAGAACCUGGAGUUACCGAGUCCACAAAAUUCGGUUCUCAUGGAGAUGAGCCUGUCAAAAGGAAGGGUCCAGUUCUAGAAGCAUUUGGUAAUGCAAAGACUGUCAAAAACAAUAAUUCAAGUCGGUUUGGUAAGUUUGUGGAGAUUCAAUUUGAUCAAAGGGGAAGGAUUUCAGGAGCAUCUAUCAGGACUUAUUUGCUGGAAACAAAGCUAUUUUUGCUUGAAGGAUGAGAAUUUCAUUGGCUAGGGUACUCUUUGUGCAACCAAAUAUUCCAUUGCUUGAUGAACCCACCAACCAUCUUGACAUGAGGGCUACUCUCUGGUUAGAAGAGUACUUGUGUAGGUGGAAGAAAAUUCUUCUUGUCGUCUCACAUGAUCGGGAUUUUCUUAACAGGAAGCAGAUGUUGCCAUAUCUUGUUGCACACGCACCCAACUGCAAUAGUGCAGUCCAUAAUAAUGCAAGUGGUAGGCCAUCAGCUAAGGAUAGUGCCCAGGUUGAUUUGUCUUCACUGUCAGUUAACUUCUCCCUGAAUUCAAGGUGACAAUCCCAGCUAACACCAUACAAGCUGAAGUGCGCUAAAGUCAACUUGCUCAGAGGAGACUCUUACACAGGAAUAUGUUCAGCACGGAUACAGGGUGAUUGAUGUGGAACUAAGGGAUGCUUAUUUCAGUUAUCCAACAAAGACAGAAUAACUACUUACAUGUAAUGAGGAGAUGAGGUGACUUAGUAUCCUGCAACUGUUCAUUCUAGUGAUAGAAAGACAGCUUGUUCUUCAUUGAGGUCAAUAUUGACGUCUUGUUGACUCCGAAGGAAAUGUGGUGAUAGGUAGCACGAUGAAGCAUGGUGUAAAAGAAUAAGACUCCCACGUGGUACAGGUAGCUUUAAUGUUGAAGUUCGAACUCCCGUAGACGGCUGAAGGCUGUUUCAAUGCAUAGUUUCCAAUUGAGGCCAUUGCAAAUGCUGUAGUUACAGCUAUACCCAAUCCAGAGGGUGUAAGUGGUGCUGCAAGCAAUUCAAUUCAAGAAUCCACUCACAGAAAAUUUGUUAAGGCACCCCUCAUGUACUUUCAGAAUCCUCAUCCUCAUACAGUGUUAUUCUACACACUAUCACUGUUUUCUGAAACCUUAUAGCAGUUACCAUUUGGUUCAGUGAUAAGUGCAAAUCCCUCCUAAGCGUGAUAUGAGAGGUCACGAGCAGUACCUCGGUACCAUAUUCAGCAGUCCAUCUGACCAAAAUUGUAGUAAAAGCUCUUCAAUGCCUCCAGAAACCCAUGGAAAUCUUGCUACAUAUCACCAGUAGCUCAUCAUUCAAACUGUCUGCAUAGAUCCAUUGAACUCCCCAGAGAUUUGGGAUGCUAAGUGAGCCGAAGAUCAAGUCUACAUGGCUGAGAUGUUGAUGCAAAGGAAGGAUGGUCGCCACAGUUUUCCAGCAACAUUUGCAGCAGAUCGAGUUAUUCAUGUGUUCAUGUUUGAGAAAGGGUGUUAGGGACAUACAGGAAAUUACGAGAGAUCCUCUUCAUAGGCAGAGAUGGAAUAAUAUGCAGUCAGUGCUCCAGGUGCCCCAAGUUUAUGCUUCUAGUCUGCAUGGCUUUCUUAGUCACUCCUAUGCCACGUGUCACCUCCCAUUCCAUCACUCUUUUGGCUUAGAAAAUAAUUUUCUGAUUCCUUUCUUGCAAAUAAAUUUUUAAACAUCGGUUUUCAAAUAAUUUCAAUAUUUUCCAUAUUUCAUCCUUAGGUUUUCUUUAGGUUCCAACAUUUUGUUUUUAAUAAAAUUUGCUGCCAUCUUUCUUCGGCGUGCAACUUUCAUAACUUCUCUGAUUUUAAAAUGUUUUAAAAUAAGUGUGAAUUUAUUUUUCGUAAUUCUUGGUGAUAGAAUUUACGAAAUUAAUUCAUACAAAAAUAAAUGGGCUUUGGUGGGGGCCCAACAUCAAAUAAAUUUUCUUUAAAAUAAAAUUGAGUGAAAUGACACAUGUGCUAUUGAUGAUUUCAUAUUUAGUUUAGUGACAUGUAUGCUAUAUCUUGUGAUCAUUGUUUUGUACUAAUCUCAUUUUCAUGAUAGCGCGUUGUUGUUUGCUGCUAAGGUACACAUUUUCUCUCACUUUGUCCAUCUCUCAUGCUUGCUUCGAUUCUCAGUGUGUAAUCAUGUUGAUAUUCAUUGAUUUUCCUAUUGAUUGUCAUGUCAGCUUCAUCUCAUUAGUAGAGACCCGACUUUAGGGACUUAGAGGGGUGCUACGGUCUUUACCGUACCUUCCCGAUAAGUAACCUGACCCCCGAACUCGAUCCGGUUUUUCGUAGAUCACCUUUUCCAAAUAAGGAGUCACACUUAGGGUUUUUCUUUCUUAUUUUGUUUACCCUUUUAAAAAUAAAACAAAAAUAAGUGGCGACUCCAAGUCAUUUUCAAAUAAUCAAUAAAAAUCAAUUUUUCAAAAUAAAAAUCGAGUUUCGCCAUCGAGUGGGAAACGCAUUCGAGCGAUUCGAAAAUGCGGGGUCCACAAAAUGGCGACUCCACUGGGGGUCAUUAGAGGGUCAAGCUUGAACUUAAGAUGAAGCAAAUGUGGUGUUUGAUGAGUUUAUCAGUGGGUACUCACUUAUUGAUUGCACAUUGAGAGUUCCCGAGUUUUCACUUGGGACAUUGACAUGAUUGAUUGUAUUGGUCGAUUAUCUUGAUUGGAGAUUCUGAGAUAGCUAUUUUCUUUGUGCUUCAUUGAUAUAUUUGUUUGAGAUAUUUGACAUGCUAAUUAUGAUGAUUGAUUCGUAUUGAUAGAGGAUUCCGAGAUAGCUAUUUUCUCUGUGCUUCAUUGAUAUAUUCAUUUGAGAUUUUGACAUGCUGAUUAUAUUGAUUGAUCAUUUCGUAUUGCUUAGCGCAUUGAUCCUGAUUUUUCCAUGAUUAUUCUGAUCACUUCACAUGCAUACACUCACCACUGUACAUCACUCAGCUUGCUGUGUUGUUUCUCUGGCUUGCAUAUUAUCUUGAUCGUCUUUUGAGCAUGAUGUUCAUAUCGCUAUUCAUCCUGAUAGUUGUAACUUUUUGUGUGGACAUGAGUGAUAUAUCCUGUACUCUGCUUGACUGUAUGAUGCAUGACUGCCCUCCCUCUGUAUGAUUGCAUGUUGCCUGUCUAUGUGGGUCACACUUCUAUCCCCUUACCUCCAACUCUCUUGGUUUCGGUCAUUCCUUUCAUCCCGGUUCUCACUAUUGCAAGUGUGAGACCUUCUAUGUGUUUGCUCUCUGACCGAGCCAGAGAUUAGGAGUAGGGUCUAACGACGGGCUAUAUCGAUGCACGGGAGCAUUCUGGAGAAGAGCGACACUGAUGUCGAUUGGAGUACGAUCAUUGAAGACCUGUAUAGCCCGAAGCUAGGUUUCAUGGAUAUUUGUGUAGCCAGUGUGUUUCCUCUUCUGUUUUAGCUUCCUAGGGUUUUCGGAUGCACCCACACCAUCACUGUGCACUCUAGUUGACUAUUGAGCAUUGAGAGUUUGAGAGGUUUCACCAUAGGAAACCCCCUGGGAUGUCGAGGUAGUGCAUGUGUGGAGGUGAUGACCACCUUGCAUGGAAGCGCCUCGUCUCUUCGAAGACGUGCAGAGGGUUGCGUACCGCCGGAGGGUAUGAUCGCUUCUGCCAGGGAUAUUUUAAAGUCCACCCUUAUUCAUUUAGAGCCACCUUGACCUUGUAGGUUGAGCCGUAGAUCCUUCGAUUAGGAUUCCCUCCCUACACGUGGGUGCAUCUGAGGGCUUCCAGAGCCUCUGUGGUUACAGUUUGGAUCCAGUAUUCCCUCUUUUUAGUCUCCAGUUGAGAGUGCUCGGAGAUCGGUAUGAGUUUGAGUACGGUUGGGUCACCUUUCGUCUUGCCGCCUUAGUUUGUGUUUUUCAUUUGAUGAGUUUAACAUGUUUUCUCCUUAGGGCUUUCGUUCUCAUUUCUUGGCUCGACACACCUUUUCACUUUGUUUUCACUCACUCGAUACUUUGGGAUAUGUUCAUUGAUCAUCUUUUUACACUAUAUACCUAUCAUGGGCUCAGUACCAUAUUCUUUGUUUGAUCCUUGGUUCGAUUUUCGAUUCGAUGCUCAUAUUUUCAUUACAGAAAGGUGAAAGGCAUAUUUUCAUAUUCACACAUUUUUCGAGAGAUUCGCCUUGAUCACCUUAUCAUUUUGUCUCUUAUGGAGCUCGAGUUGAAGGUUGAAUCAAGGAUAUUUUUGGUCUAGACUGAGUAUUGAUCUCGUGAUAGUGUUGUUCUUCACACCCCAUUCAUUUUCUUCACACCUCGAUCAUUUUUUGGAUCAUCGAUAGAAAUUCUUUAGUCAUAUUUGUAGUUGUCUCACAUUGGACACUCAUGUGACUCUAGAGAUUCUAUCGUCUAUCCAAAUUUUGAUUGUCACCAUAUGAUUGUGUGUCGCACCCUGUCAUAUAUUGGGUUGUAGUGUAUCCCAUGCAUUGGUCAUUGUUCGUUGCAUCUUGUGUCGUUGCAUGAGUCGUGUUUGAGUCGUUGUGUUUAGAUUCUUUUGUAGGGGUUAUUUGUAGUCCCAGUCUUGGUUCAGUGCCCUGGAUUGAGUGAGAGAGAUGUUGAUUCGUAUCGUUGAGCUGCUAUAGACAGAUUCACAGUCAGUUUCGAUUGGUUAGGUUAUUGCUUCUGUGGUUUCGAUUCAGAAGGCAUUGGCCAGUUUGAGUUAGAGGAUGGAUAGUCAGCCGAGUAGGCAUGUAGUGCUCGAGGACACGCCAUCUGAUUUAGUGACACCACCUGUUAUACCCGUUCAGAUGCCAGCUACACAGACUUUGCAUACUAUUUCACAUGAUCGGGCUGCUAUCGUUCCACCUAUUGUCACACCAGUUACCAUUGUUGGGGAUCCUCAUUCUCGUAUGGACAGACUCGAGCGGAGGAUUAGAUGGAUGAGAGAUCUUGAUGAGAUGAUUUCAUGGGAUGACCCUGGCAAUGUGCCAGUGGCCACUUUGCCAGUCGGUUUCAGGAUGCCUGAUAUAGAGAGAUAUACGGGUGUUGGAUGUCCUCGUAUUCAUCUCAGACUUUAUAGCACAGUUAUGAGGGCUCUUGGUCUAGAUGAGGCACAGUUGCUCACUUUGUUUCCAUUGUCAUUGAGCGGCAUGACACAGAGAUGGUACGCUUCAUUAGAGUCAUCUCGUCGGAGAACUUGGGAGGACUUAGCACAGGAGUUUCUGAGACAGUAUUCCUUCAGUGGUGAUACGAGCGUUACACGUAGAGAGCUUGAGUUUCUUAGACAGGGAUCAGAUGAGCCUGUUUUUUCUUUUAUCUCCCGCUGGAGGGAGAAGGCCGCAGAAAUGAUUGAGUGACCUACCGAGAGAGAUCAGAUGGGCAUGUUUUUGAGGAGCUUGCAUCCUAGGUUUGCUCGGCAUCUGACAGGAGUCCCAUUCCAGGAUUUCAGAUCAUUGGUUCAGGCUUUGCUUGAUGUAGACGAUGGCCUAUCUAGAGGAUUAUGGUCAGAUAUUAUUCCUUCUCCGGAUACUGAGGGGAAGGGAGUUGGUGGAUCAUCUGAGAGCUAUGGAGACGUAUGUUCUGUGGACUUUCAGCAUCGACGGCCUGGUUAUCAUCCCUAUGCGAGAUCAUUGCAGAUAUCCAGGAGUGAUUUCCCACCUUUACAGCAUCGUCAUCCUCAUCCAGUUUAGCUGUACCCUUCUACGCAUCCUCAUGCUGUCACGGUGCGACCUUCAUUUCAGUUUCAGCGUCCAUAGACUGGCAUCCCACGGCAUGAGCAGUCUCGUCCCCAUCGGCGACGUCAAAGGACUUAUUCUGAUUUGGGGAUGCCUUUGGAUAGAGCUUUUGAGCGAUUCCGAUCUAUUGGUGUUUUAGUACCAUUGGCCCCUAGGCCACUCCCGAGUACCUUGCCUCCGCGUUUUCAUGCUCAUGAGUUCUGUGCAUUUCACCAGAUGGCAGGCUACCGUACUGAUUAUUGUGCUUCUUUACGUCACACCAUACAGGAUCUUAUUGACAGUGGCGCAGUUAGCUUUCCCAUAUCGACCACAGAUACUGAUCUUGGUCUAGAUAUGUCUACUGAUUCCUUUCCAGCUUAGUCCACACUAUGUUUGGUUUUUGAAAAGUAUCAAGAAAGAAAAAUUGUUAAGAAAAGUGGUUUUCUCAUAUUUGGAUUUGUCCUGAAAAAUGCAAAAGAAAAAUUAAAUAUAAUUAAAAUUAGUUAAAAAUCUAUACAUUUUAAAAUUAUUUUAUUUUUAUAUAAUGAAGGAAAAUAAGUGAAAUGAAUUUGAAGAAGUAUAUAAAAAUAAUUUAUUGACUUUGUUUAUAUUUUUUAUUUUCUUCCAAUUUUCCUUUCUAUUUUUAUUUUUUCACAUUUUCCAAGGGUUCUUGUUAUAAAAUGAUUAAAAUUGUUGAAAUUUUCUAAUGAUUUUUCUUUCUUUUUAGAUUUCCUUAAAAUAUUUUUGACAAUUUUUUUAUAUAUAUAUUUUUUAAAAAAUGUUCUUAAUACUAUAAUUGUUUAAUUUGAUACAUUCUCGAAAUUAAUAUUUGAAACUAUUUAUUAUGUUAAUAAUAAUAAUAACAGUAAUAAUAAAUAACAUUAAUUACCAUAACUAUAAUGUAAUAUUUUUCUCCUUGGCCCGUAAGAAGUGUUUGACUCCGCUUUAAUUUGAUUUUAUCUUUAAAUUCAUCAUGCUUAAUACAUGAAAAAAAAAAAAGUAGAUAAAGUAAAUAUGAAGAAAAAAAAAAGGAUCAACUUGUUAUUAUAAUAAUAAAUAAAAUAUUAGAUUAAUAUAUUUAAAAAUUAAUUUCUUUCAUCUAUAUAAUUAUAAUUCAUAUUUAAUGCAAGUUUUGUCUUCUUUUUUUCCUAUAAUAUCAUUUUUUCCAUCUCUAUAUAUAUUAUUUUAUAAUUUUUUUAAAUGUAUUUAAUUAUUAACUAUUUGAGUGAUGUUAUAACCAAAGUUUAUAUAUUUUUUUAAAAGAGGUAAUUAUUGAUUUAGGGAAAAAUAGGUUUUCACUCGCUAAAAUAAAAAUAUAUGGAAAAAAUAAUCCUAAAUUUUUUAAAUUGUUAUAAAUGGGUGGUGAAUGACCACCUUAAUGUUAUCGUUGAAGUUCAUUUAUGAACUUUCCCAUUUGGAAAACUUAUAAAAGGCCUUCCAUCCUUUGUACAAGAGCAUCCCGAAGAAAGAUAUUUAUUCAUUUCUCUCAUUCUCAUUCUCAUUCUCUCUCUCUUAUUCUCUUAUUUUCUAAACUUUUUCACUUCUCCUUUAUGAUCCCUUCCUCCCCAUUACAUAUUAUUAUUGAGUAAUAUAUAGUUGUUCUAUACUUUUAUUAGUAUUGCAUUUAUCCUCAUUUUACAACACAUUAUCAGUAUGAAUUGCUUUGAAGGUAAUUCUCGUAUCUUAAACUUGAAGUUGUUUAUAUAUAAUAAAAUUUUACAUAUUUAUAUUGUUGUUAGAUUUUGUUUUGUUAUAUAUUGUUAAAAGUUAUAAGAAAAUUAUUUGAUUUUGUUUAUAAUCAAAAGUUAUACUAAUGUUAUCAAUUUAUUAUAACUGAUUCUAAUAAUAUUGUUUUGUCAUAUAUAUGAAGUUAUUUGACAAUAUCGAAUUUCACAAAACUCAAAUUUGUGACAUUUGACAUUUCAGGAAAUAACUAUCUAUCUUGGAUCCUUGGUGUUGAAAUACAUUUUGAUGUAAUGAAUCUUGGAGCUACGAUCAAAGAAGAAAAUCAAGUAUCCCUACAGGAUCGCGCAAAAACGCUGAUUUUCCUUCGCCAUCACCUCCAUGAAGGUUUAAAAAAUGAGUAUCUUACAGUAAAAGACCUUUUUACUCUAUAAAGUAAUUUGGAGGAAAUAUAUGACCACUAGAAAAUUGUGAUUCUCUCAAAAGCUCGAUAUGAUUGGAUGCAUCUAAGUUUGUAGGAUUUUAAAACUGUUAGAGAAUAUAACUCCGCAUUUUUCAAAAUCAACUCUCAAUUAAAGCUGUGUGGAGAAAGAAAAAAAAUCAUAGAAGAAGACAUGUUAGCAAAAACUUUAACUACGUUUCAUGCCUCAAAUGUGCUCCUACAACAGUAAUAUCGAGAGUGUAGAUUUACAAAAUAUUUUGAAUUAAUAUCAUGUCUUCUUGUUGUUGAACAAAAUAAUGAGCUUUUAAUGAGAAAUCACCAAUCUCAUCAACUGGAUUUGAACCAUUCCCUAAAGGAAAUGCAAUAUCGUCCCAAACUCGUGGACGUGGAUGUAGACGAGGACGAGGACAUGGUCGUGGAAGAAAUCCCCGGUACCAUGGUUCUUAUGGUAAUAAUUCAUCAAAUUCUUAGAAAAGGAAAGUCUCAUUGCACUAUCAGAAGUGGAAUAAUACCGAGGCAAAACAAGAAAAUGGGAAGUGUUUACAAGAUAAACCUCCUCAAAACCAUGAGAAUAAUUGUUAUAGAUGUAAUAUGAAAGGGGAUUGGUCACGUACCUGUCAUACACCCAAACAUUUGGUCAACCUUUACCAAGCAUCAAUAAAAACAAAAGGAAAAGAGAUAGAGAUGAACUUUACCGAUGGUGAUGGAUUGGACCUAACCUACUAUGAUAUUGAUUUUUUUAGAGGUUCUAGUAAAAAAAUAGGCCAUUUAAUAAAUGAUGAGAAUAUUAACUUUGAUUGAUGUUACUUUAUAUAUCGAAUAUAUAUUAUUAUGUCUUAUAUUCACAUUCGAUUUUCUUUUGUUAUUUACAUUAUGCCUUGGUUUUUUUUAAAUAUUAGUUAUAUAUAAAAUCCAUGUGUUAUUUGAUCUCAAGAUGAAUGAGGAUGAUGUAUGUCUCGUAGACUAUGCAACCACACACACAAUUCUUCGAGAUAAAAGAUAUUUCCUCAAAUUGACAUUAAUAAAAGUUAAUGUAAGUACCAUAUCUGCUACUACAAACUUAGUUAAAGGCUCUGGAAGAACAAACAUAACACUACCAAAUGAAACUAGAUUCUAUAUAAAUGACACUUUAUAUUCUAACAAAAAUGGAUAUCAUAUUGAAACUGUGAAUAAAGAUAAUGUAGAAUAUCUUUACAUUAUUUCCAUUAUAUCUGGCUAGAAGCUUAUAAUGGAAAAACUCUCGGCUUUCUCCUCUGGGUUGUGUCAUACAACUAUAAAGCCUAUUGAAUCAUAUGUUGUCAUGAACCAAAAGUUCAACGAUCCAAAAGUUUUUGUCCUUUGGCAUGAUAGGCUAGGUCACCCAAGGUCUUCAAUGAUGUGUCAAAUAAUUGAACACUCACAUGAGCAUCCAUUAAAGAAUCAAUAGAUUCUUUUACUUAAUAAAUACUCAUGUGUUGCCUGCUCACAAGGUAAAUUGAUAGUCAAAACAUUUUUUACUAAAGUCAUAUCUGAGUCACUAGUCUUUUUAGAAAGAAUACAUGGGGACAUAUGUGGGCCUAUCCAUCCACCAUGUGGACCAUUUCGUUAUUUUAUGAUCUUAAUAGAUGUUUCUACUGGGUGGUCACAUGUUUGUCUCCUUUUUACACGUAACGUUGCCUUUGCUAGACUCCUUGCACAAAUAAUCAGAUUAUGAACAUAAUUUUCAGAUUAUCCAAUUAAGACAAUACGCCUUGAUAAUGCUGACGAAUUUACGUCUCAAACAUUCAUUGACUAUUGCAUGUUAGUAGGGAUAAAUAUUGAGCAUCCUGUUGCUUAUACUCAUACCUAAAAUAGCUUAGUAGAAUCAUUUAUUAAAUGUCUCCAAUUAAUAGCUUGACCAUUACUAAUGAAAGCCAAAUUACCUACUUUUGCUUGGGAAACAUGCUAUUAUGCAUGCUGCAGCUUUAGUCUGUAUUUGACCUGCAACUUACUAUGAAUACUCCCUUAUAACUUGUGCUUGAAAAACAACCAAAUAUCUUUCACUUACAAAUCUUUAGUUAUGUAGUAUAUGUACCAGUUGCACCUACACAACGCACCAAAAUGGGUCCCCAACGAAGACUUAGGAUUUAUGUAGGCUUUGAUUUUCCAUAUAUUAUAAGAUAUCUUGAACUUUUGACAAGCGAUGUUUUUACAACCAGUUUUGCAGAUUUUUAUUUUAAUGAGGGUGUUUUCCCGCCAUUAAGGGAAGAAAAGUCGAUUCUUGAAAAACGAUGAGAAAUUACUUGGAACGCAUCUGCUAUGUCCCAUCUCAAUCCUCGUUCAAGUCAGUGUGAACUAGAAGUUCAAAGGAUCAUUCAUUUGCAAUCUUGCAAAUCAACUACCAGAAACAUUUAUUGAUACAAAGAAAGUGACAAAGUCACAUAUCCCUACUGUAAAUACUCCAACACGAAAUGAUGUCCAUGUAGGACAGUUAACAAAUGAAUCUAAGAUACGCUUGAAGCGUGGUAGACUUGUCGGCUCAAAUGAUGUAACUCCCCAGAAGAUGAGAACACAAGAAAAACUUGACACUUUAAAAGAGGUCAUCAAAAUGAUUGAUCAGUUUAAAAUUGAUAAAUCUAUUGCCCCAGAAAAGGCACAAAUAAUGCAAAAAGCCCCUAAAGAGGCACAUAUUAAACGAGAAGCCCCUGAAGAUGCACAAAUACCUUAAAAUUGUAAGAUUUCAUUAAAUUAUGUACACACGGGAGAAAAAUGGGAUCAAAAUAAUAUUGUUAUUAACAAUAUUUUUGCUUCCAAAGUGGCCUCCUAUAUCAUAAGAAAUGAUGAAGAUCUUGAACUACGAAAUAUGGAAGAAUGCUGACAUAGAAAUGAUUGGCCAAAAUGGAAAAAAGCUAUGCAGACAAAGUUAAACUCAUUAACAAAACGAGAAGUUUUGGACUUGUAAUCCAAACACUUGAAGAUGUAAAACCUGUUGGGUACAAAUGAGUAUUUGUACGAAAGCGUAAUGAGAAUAAUGAAAUCAUAAGAUAUAAAGCGCGAUCAGUUGCACAAGGUUUCUCACAAAGACUUGGUAUUGACUACGAGGAAACAUACUCUCCUAUCAUGGACGCAAUCCCAUUUCGUUUCUUAAUUAGUUUGGCAGUUUCAGAAAGAUUGGAUAUGUGUCUCAUGGAUGUUAUUACAACAUAUUUAUACGGAUCCAUGGAUAAUGAUAUAUACACGACAAUCCCUGAAGGAUUUAAAUUGCCUGAAGCAAAUAGUACAAAGCCUCGAAGCAUGUACUUAAUCAAGUUCCAACGAUCCUUGUAUGGAUUAAAGCAAUCUAGACGCUUGUGGUACAAUCGCAUUAGUGAAUACUUGCUAAAAGAAGGGUAUGUGAAUAACCCUAUAUGCCCAUGCAUCUUCAUUAAGAAAUCAGAAAUCAUAAAUCAGAUUUGCAAUUAUUGUAGUGUAUGUUGAGGACUUAAAUCUUGUUAGAACUCCUGAAGAUCUCACAAGAACAACAAAUUACUUGAAAAAGGAAUUUGAGAUGAAAGAUCUUGGAAAAACAAAAUUUUGUCUCGGCUUACAUAUCGAGCAUUUUCCAAAUGGAGUUUUAAUACAUCAAUUAACAUACAUUAAGAAAGUUUUGAAGUGUUUUUAUAAGGAUAAAGUGCAUCAUUUAAGUUCUCUAAUGGUUGUCUGAUCGCUUGAUGUGAAAAAUGACUAAUUUCGUCCUUGCGAAAAAAAUGAAGAAUUACUUAGUCCCAAAGUACCAUAUCUUAGUGCUAUUGGUGCACUUAUGUAUCUUGCCAAUUGUAUAUGUUCAGACAUUGCUUUUUCUGAUAUGAGUUUAUUUUACUUAAGGGAAUGAAAACAACAAUUGCUUGGAUAUGCAGAUAUAAGAUAUCUUUUAGAUCCACAUAAAGGUAGGUCACAAAUAGGGUAUGUGUUUAAUUACAAUGGUACUUCUAUUUCAUGGAGAUCUGUCAAACAAUCAAUGGUGGCCACAUCAUCAAAUCAUUUAGAAAUACUGACAAUUCAUGAAGCAAGUCAUGAAUGUAUAUGACUAAGAUUUAUGAUCCAACAUAUUCAAGAAUCAUGUGGACUCUCCUCUAUCAAAGGUGACCUGACAAUAUUAUUUGAAGAUAAUGUUGCAUGCAUUGCAUAGAUGACAUGGGGUUAUAUUAAAGGAGAUAGAACUAAACACAUUUCACAAAAUUUCUUUUAUAUACAUAAACUCUAGAAGAGUGGUGAAAUUGAUGUGCAACAAAUACGCUCAAGUGAUAAUCUAGUAGAUUUAUUCACAAAAUCAUUGUCAACCCCAACAUUCAAGAAGUUAAUAUAUAAUAUUGGAAUGCGUCAACUUAAGGAUAUCGACAUAAGGGAGAGUAUGCUUGUAAAAAGGUGUUAGUGUAUUGUACUUUUUUUCCAUUCGUCCAGGUUUUGUCUCACUGUGUUUUAAUGACAAUGUUUUUAACGAGACAAUCCUAACAUAUCAAGAGCAACUUAAAGAAUUAUAAGAAUAUUGUAUUCUUUUUCCUUCACUAGGUUUUUCCCUUAGGGUUUUUUGACUAGCAAGGUUUUAAUAAGGCAUAUUCUUUUAAUAUGGUAGUCAUCCAAGGGGGAGUGUUAUAAAUGGGUGGUGAAUGACCACCUUAAUGUUACAAUUGAAGUUCAUAAAUGAACUUCAUUUACUCAUCUUUAAGAUGAAUAAAUGUUUUCCAUUUGGAAAGCCUACAAAAGGCCUUCUAUUCUUUGUACAAGAGCAUCCCGAAGAAAAAUAUUUAUCUCUCAUUCUCAUUCUCUCUCUUUUAUUCUCUCUUUCUCUUAUUCUUUAAACUCUUUCACUUUUUCCUGAUCCAUUCAUUCCCAUUAUAUAUUAUUAUCGAGAAAUAUAUAGUUGUUCUCUACUUUUAUUAGUAUUUCAUUUAUCAUCAUUUUACAACAUAAAUUAAUAUUAUUUUAAUCUAUUUAAAAAUAAAUUAAAAUACAUGUACUUUUUACUUUUUAACGAGUCAUCUAAUUAUUUACUAAAAUAUCAUUUUUACUUGUCAUGUCAUUAAUGUAUUUUAAUUUUAAGAAAUAAUUACAUUUAUUUCAAUUUAUUUUUAAAUAGAUGAAGAUAAUACUGAUUUUAAAAAUUUGAGGUUCAUUUUUUCAUAUAUUUUCAUAUUUACGAAUCAAAACCUAUUUUUCCCUAUUUAACUUUGCAAUUCAAGAACCAACGUGAUUCCAACCAAUUCAUGUAGGAUGAAGAUCUUUAACCUGAAUUAUCAAUUCAAGUCAUGACUUAGUAUUUAGUUAUUAAAAUUUUAUUCUAAAAAUAAUUUCAUGGUUUUGUAAAAUGAGGAUAAAUGCAAAGCUAAUAAAAGUAGAGAACAACUAUAUAUUACUCGAUAAUAAUAUAUAAUGGGAAGGAAGGGAUCAGAAAGGAGAAGUGAAAGAGUUUAGAGAAUAAGAGAAAGAGAGAGAAUGAAAAUGAGAGAAAAGGAUAAAAAUCUUUCUUCGGGAUACUCUUAUACAAAGGAUGGAAGACCUUUUAUAAACUUUCCAAAUGGGAAACAUUUGCUCAUCUUAAAAAUGAAUAAAUGAAGUUCAUAAAUGAACUUCAAUUGUUACAUUGAGGUGGUCAUUCACUACCCAUUUAUAACACAUGGUAAAUAAUUGGAUUAAUUAAUAAUUAUUAAUUUAAUUAAAAAAUUCUCAAAAAAUAAAAAUAUGUAAUCUUUGGACUAAUUAAUGAAGGAUUACCCGAUCGGUCACCGACUCUAAUUUAGCCCAAGUCCAUAUAGUCACCGUACAAAUUAAGUUUGGAUUUAAAAGACCUUAUGAUCAAUGACAAAAAAUUGGGCCGGCCCAUGAUCAGCCCAUUAUUACCCGGCUGAACUCACGUAUUGAAAGUUUUUUUGGGAUAAUAAAAAAGCUGCUAAAUAGCUCAAACCCAUCCAAAAUAGGCUUAGGGAGAAUCUUAAUAGAGGGACCAAAAUAUGUCCACCAAUUGUGGAACCAAAAUGGGAAAGAGGAAAGCUGAUUCUUAGAGGGGAAGUAGAACAUCCAUGAAUGAUGGAAGUCCCUGUUCUGGAUUAAAAAAGUAAACCAGGCUUUCUGAUAAUCCCAAUAGUUAAAAAACCUUGGCUUUGAUGGUUCAGAAAAUUCUCUUGAAAAAUUAGGAUUUCCACCCCACUGCUUGACAGUGAGAAUCUUAUAGAUAUGAUAGGUGGAAAAUGCCAAAUCUAAUUUGCUGAAUUUAUCUGCAUUAUGCUUGAUCUUAACAGAUCCAGUCUCAAUGAGAACUGCUUCAUAAAAAUCUCUUGUUUUUGAAAGAUCACUAGAGGGAUAAUGAAAAUUUUCAUGAAAAGCUUUUGCUGCAAUCUCUCUAAAAUUUUCAGAAAAAAAAUUCUCUUUCAAUAGCCAAAAGAGGCUGAUUUAAAUCAUUUUGCCAAUAUCUUGAUUUUAUUGAAAGAGGUGUGGGGUUGGCAGCCACCACAAUUUGUUUGCUUGUAGAAGAGAUUGUUGCCAAUUCCUUUUGAGAGGGAUUAGCCAUAGUAAUCUGCUUAAAGGUCUGAGACCCUGAGAUAGCUGGAUAUUGGGUCACCUUGACUGGUUUAGAAUGAUCCGAAUGAUCAUAGUACAAGGUCAACAUCUUGUUAGGCAUAUAAUUAGAUUCAUGCAUAGGUUUAGAAGAAUGAAGCUUUGCCAAAAGCUGUGCUUCUUUUUCUUCUUGUUCAACUUGUUGGCUCCAAAGCAUUUUAUGGGAAGAAGGAGAUUGGUUAGCUUGACUGGACUGGGAUUUUUGCGAGUUAGGAGCUUGGGUAUUCUUUUUAGGAGCCAUGAUCUCAUGAACCCUACAAAAUUCACGAGAUGGCUGAUUAGGGAUGGAAUAUUUUCCUUUAAUAAACUUACCUUGAAAAUUAGAGCUUAAAAUAAUAUACCAGUUAAUUAAGUAAUGCUUAAAAAUUAUGUAUUUAGUUGUUUUAUCAGAUUCGAAAUCAAUUUUUAAUAAAAAUUCUUGAUUUAAAAUACCAAUUUGAAAUUUUGAAAUGCUUAAAGAAAUUCUUAAAAUAUCAUUGAUGCAAUUAUGUAUGAGCUGAUUUCCCAUCAACCUAGGUGGAACAUCUAUUCUGACAAGAUUAAUAUCUUGAUUACAAGGGUUGAUGCUUAUUGGUGGAUUAGCAAAUUCAAAAAGAAUUUCCUUAUCCAUAAAAUUAGCUCUUAUACCUUUGUUAUCUACCCACAGGGGAUAAAUAGUACUUAAAAAGGGGAUUCCUAAAAGGGCUUUUUCCUUAAGAUCUUUAACAAGAAUAAAGGUUUGCUUAAUACAAACGUCAUGGUUGUGGAUAUUAGCAUCUGUUAAUUUAUACUUUAUGACAAGUCUUUUGCCAUUGGCGCCAAAUAGAGAUUGAUUAGUCUCUUCACAUAAAGAGAUAGGAACAAGUCCUUCUUGAAGACAAUUUUCAGCUGCUCCUGAAUAAACUAAAGCAAUAAUGUCAAGGACAAACUUUUCUUUGAUUACUAUAGUAAGGGGAACUUCCCACAUUUGGAAGAUGACUCUACUAACAGUAUUCAAAAAGGCUUUAGUUUCUUCAUCAUUAACUUGUGAGGAUUCAGGAAGAUCCAUAAGGUUUUCCUGGCUGUUGACAAUCCUAUUGAUUUGUCCUUGUAGGUCAGAGAGACCUAAGCUUGUAAAUUCCCUUAAGUCCUUAAUCUCUUUUCUAUAUUGCUUAACUUCAAUAAGAAGUUCCUUAAUACUUACUUCUUUAGGAGACUGAUGGUCAAAUCUUCUUAAGAUUUCAUUAAGGUUAUAAGGGUUUAUAGUCUUCUUGACUUUUAGCUUAACAACUGAUUUCUUAAAAACUUCAUAAAGAUCUUGCUUAGUUUUAUCAUCUUCAAUUUUUCUCAAAAUAUCUAAGACUAAUUCUUGGUCUUGACUUAUGACAUUUAUGGUUUUAGGUCGGCAAUUACAAUUUCCCUUAAUACAAACAUCUUGGUCACUAGAAGACUGGCUAGAGACAUCGCCACUACUAUCUAGUUGAUUAAUAUCAUCUUCAUUAUUUGAAUCAGUCCUUGAUUCAUAUUAUGAGGAUUUUAAUAAAACUUCACAUAGCAUGUCUUUUAAGUCCUUUGACACAUCAAGAUUGUUAAUUUUUUGCUUAACUCUACAAUCUUUCUUUAAGUGACCAACCCUGCCACACUUAUAGCAAAUGAUUGGCUUAACCUCUAAAGGAGUACUGUCUUUUUUCCGAGCAUCCUUGCUCAUUCUCCUUUGGACGUGUCUUGAAUGCUUGGUUUCAUUCAUCCUAUAAUUACCAUGAGUACCUCUUUUACUAUGGUAAAAUUUAUCCUUGCUAGGUUUCCUGUUGGUUUGUUGCUUAGAGGGGGGCUUAGUUUCUUUCUGGCUGAAACCAAACUGGCUAUAGAAUGACCCGAAUUCAUUCUUGUAGAUUUUUUGUUCAUUCUUCAUUUGUUGUUUCAGCUUAAAAUCAUUACAAAGUUUAAUUCCUUCAGCAGUGACAAUGCUUAUAAUUUCCCCAUAGGUGAGCUUAUCAUAAGGGAUUUGACCAUUAAACUGUUCCCUUAUCUUAAUCCUAAUUCUCUCAAAGAAAAGCCUAGGCAAUCCUGAGAUGAAUUUCUCUUUCCAAAAGGACUGGUUACAGUUUGAUCUUAACAUGACUUUGGUUAGAAAAACUUCCUUAUACCACCUAAAGUCAUGAAGCUUCGGACACUUAAGGUUGGUUAAAAGAUCUGCAGUCUUAUCCUUAAUUUUUGCAGGAUCACCAAUGAAGUGUUUUGAGAUUGAAUAGAUAAGAGUAGCCACUGCAUCCUCUAUAUCAUGACCAUCUUCGUCCUUAACCACUUCAUUUUUCUCAUUAAUCCUGUAGGUUUUUAGGAUACCAUUUUUAUCCUCAAAAGUGAGAAUUAUCCCACCAACCUUUAAGUUGACCUGUAAACCCAGCAACAAUUGUUUGGGCUACAGCAUGGUCUGGUAACCUAUUGUUUAACUUAUAGGCUAUACUAACCAUGGUCAUUUCUUGGAACUUAGUGAGAAUGUUAUACUCGGUCAUACCAUCUAUGUUCCAUUCAUAAAUAGUGCCAUUGGUAUACGAAGCUUGAGUAUAUUGGUUUCUUUCCUCAAACUGCAUGUCAGGAAAGGUAGGUCUAGGAUAAAAAUUCCUAGUCUUAAAAGCUUCUAAGUUGUUAAUAUUGCUUAAAACAGCUUGAUUAUGAGGUUCUUUAAACAUUUUAAUUAAUUCAUCAGCUUCUUCCUCUGAACUAAUAUCACUUUUAACCAUAUUAAUUUGCUUAUGAGGUUGGAUUGAGACAGUGAUAUUAUCCUUAAUCAUCUGGUUAAUUCUAUUCAUAAAGGUUUGGUUGACUUGGGGUUUUUUCUGGAAUUCCUUAGAGAAUUUGAUUCAUGCCCAAUUGGUGUCUCAGCUGAUUCAUGUCCAGCUGGUGCUCCUUGGAUGAGGGAGUAAUCAACAAAAUUUAUAACCUAUUACACCAUAUACUAGGGUAGCAAAGAAAAAGCUACUAUAGUAUAGCGGCUCUAGGAUCGUUCACUGGGAAGGAUUAGAAAAUUAUCAAUGAUACCAAUUCAAAGUGAAUUGGUCUUGUUUCAUUUCAAGGUUAGCUUAAGAAAUAAAACACAAACUUUAAUUGGUAAAGAUUUAGAUUUAAACUAACUACAAAACAAGUAAUGGGAAUAACUUAGGAAGAAAAACAUUCCUUGGAGGGUCAGGUUCACUGGGGUGGUUCCUCAUGCAAAAGACAUAGCUCCGGUCAGAUGGUUCAUUUCCUCACGUUAGAGAUUCAACAUAUAGUCAAUUCUCUAAUUGGUGUUGUACAAAUACAUCCUUUAAUUAGAUUUCAGCUUUAAUUCUCUCACUGAUGCAACUUGCAAUGGUUCAAGCCUCUCACUAAGCCUUAACCAUUCAAGGUGAUCUUUAACCUUGGACUUCCCUUCUCAAGCUCGCAAGAGAUAACUAAUAGAUGUCUCCUUGGAGUCCAAAAGCUUACCAAGUGUUGGCAAUUCCAGAAAAUCCUACCUUAAAGUCACCUCCCAGAGGCUCGCAAGGGGUAAACUAGUGCAUCUCCAUGGUUGGAGAUCACUUGCCUUACCAAGUGUUGGCCCAGGUGACUCUAAGGUGUUUUAAGUUAACUAAAAACAUAGAAAUCACUAAAGGAUUUCACUUCCUCUUCAUUCGUGGCUGAAACCACAAAGCUUUGCAUUCUUGCACUUGGAACCUUUCCCGGCAACCUUAACUCCAAGGAACUAAAGGUUUAGUUACUCAUUCUCUGGGGAAAAUUCCUCAGAGAGUGCAUAACUUAGUAAGAAAUAAAAAAUACAAAGUGAGAAGGUAAGACAAAACAAAGGACCUGAACUUUACUUGCUUUCCCAAAACUUUACAAAGGGGUCUCCUCUUCUGAGAACAGGCUCUCGAGAGGUAUAUAUAUGAACAUAAUACAAAACUAAUUAUUACAUGGAUAUUUACUCUUUUUACUAACUUAAAAGUAAAGGAAUCUUGUAAUUGGUGGCUUACAAGGAGAAUUUUGGGAUUUAGACAACAAAAAUCUGAUGGAAAAUAUCUCCCAAUGUCGGUAGCAAAUAUCGGGAAGCACUACGGACCAUUUCGCAAGAGAAAAUGAUGUCUACGAGAUUUCGCAGACACUCAAAAAGGGCUGCGAAAUCACUUCGCAGCAAAAGGCUAUUCUCGCAGGGCUGCGAAGUUGGCUUUCAUCUUGAGGUUCUCAGCUUCCAACUUGUCGCAUAUAUCGGGCAACUUUAGGAGGAAAUCCACCACACUGUACAAAAAGGCUGCAAAAUCAUCUCGCAACAAAAGGGUGAUUUCGCAGCACUGUGCAAAAUUCUUCCUUCAGCUUGGAGUGAUCGGCUUGCAAUGGCUGUAACUUUUUCGUUUCAACUCUGAAUUGCGCACUGUUUGAAGCAUUGGAUUUCUGACUUCCUGAGCUUUGAAAUGAUAUAUAGCAUGCAUCAAUUGUCCUUUAGAAAGUGCUCCAAAAGUGGCUGAAACAAAUGUCAUCAAGAAUAUACUUCAUGGCAGAUUUUUCUUUUCUUCCUCUCCUUGCAUUCCGGAUUUACUCUUGGCAAAUGACUUCCAAGCUUUGCCCAAGAUUCCUCAUAACUCUCCUCAAUCUCGGAUUGCUUUGGUGAUCAAAAGGCUAUCAAAACAUCAAAACUUAGCACAAUUUGAUUAGAAACGAUUGCAAGGGUCCUUAACAUGUCAAUUGAGUUAAAAGGCAAUAACUACUACUCAAAAGUGUUUAAAAGAGUUUAUUACAAGCUAUCAAAGAACACUUUUUGAGUAGUAAUCAGAAUUCAUAUAUCUUAUUCUCUUUAUUAGUGCUGGUAACCUCUAUAAUCUUAAAGGGAUAAUCUGGAUAUUCCUCUUGUUUGAAGAGUUCAAACCAGAUCCAGAACUUAAUAUUUUUCUUUUCUUGUCUUAAGUAGGAAUAAAAUUCCUCUUGGAGAAUGGUUCUAAAGACUUUAGGAAUAGUUCUAAAAAACCAAUCUUUCUUUUCCUUAUUGACUUCAGAAUAGAAGUCCUUCCUUAAGAGUUCCUUGUUGAUCUCAAAGUUUUCAUCACCAUAGCUUAUGGUGUUGAUCAUCUGAGAAUAUGUAGGAGACAUUUGAGGAGACUCAUCCUGUUGAGAAUCAUGAGUAGAAUCUUUUUCCUCAGUGUAAAAGGGUUUGGCCAAAUUGGUGUGACUUCUAACACCUGUUAACUUGAUGUUCUUAGGAUUUGAACUAGUACCUUCAUCUUUCCUAGUGAUCCUUACUGGGAUAGAUGAGCUUGAAGAUCUAGCUGGUUCAUAACUUGAAACUCUAGGGUUACUAGAAUGACGAAAAGAAUUGGAGAAAAUAAGAUCUCCACCCCCAUCAGGAUAUUGAAUAAUUUGUUCAAUCCUUUCAGAUCUCUGCUCUAUGGCUAGAACUGCAUUAGAGAAAUGCCAGCUUUCUGGGAAUUCAACUUCAUCCCAUCUUAUUUUCAUGGGGACAAUGAUGUUGGACUUAUUUAUGCCGUCUGAAUGAAAGAGAGUAGUUUCUCCCUUAGGACUGGUGCAUAAAGCCCCAGAUCCAACGCUUGUAGUCAUACUCUUGUAGGCAAACCUGGUAAUGAUGGAAACAGGAUUGUUUCCUUCCUUAAACUUAAAGCCAUGAGUCUUAACAUGCAGGACAACAGUAUCAAGGAUGUCUGCGUCUCUUAAUCUAACUGUGAAGUUAGGGAAACACUGGAAAUAAACUGGGCCAUCAUUUAGUCCAGCUUGGACUGCUCCAAUAAUGGAAUCUCGAUAAUCGAGAUGCCUAUUAUCUCUUAAAUACAUUACAAUAGAGGUGUUUAAACCUAAUCUUGUCAAAGGCUUAACUGCCACUUGGAUCAUACCAAAGUGUAUGAAAUUAUACCCAUCUUUUUUAUGCUUAUCAAUGGAAUUACCAUCUAAGAGUCUUAUAAUUUGAUUAUCUUGUUCUAAGCUUAUUGACAUUUCAGAGGUUCUAAUGGUGUAGUCCGUGAAAAACUUAAAGGUUCCUUUCUUGUAAAUUUCUUGGGUAGACACCUUAGGUAGCUUCCAAUCAUCUAGAUCAUUUUGGAUCUUAGGAUAACUGAUCUCUUCACUGUUUACAACAGUAUCUUGAGAAUCACUGGAUCUCCUAGACAUGGUUCUGAAAAUAGAAUUCAUUUUAGGGUUUUGAACUAGAGCCUAAUAGCAGAUUAAGAGACCUGAUGAGACGUCAACCCAACCACAUUACAACCUAACAAACGCCUAUCCACGGCUAACAACGGCUCAACCUGGCAGGGCUCGCGCUCCUAGGCACACUGCUACUUCUCCUAGGGUAGGUCAAAACUUACCAAAACAAACCCGACUUCCCUUCCCAUGGCUUUGAUACCAACAACACCCAAGACAAGGUCAUAUGCAAUGGAGACAUGAAUUAUCUCAAAAUUCAAAACAAAGAAGAGGAGUCAGAAAAUACAAAAGAUAUCUAACAAGAAAUUUAAAGAGAAGGAACCAAAAAACUUGUUAGUUCAUGAUAAGCUUAAAACCGGCCAUGAUAGGCGGUACAAGAACAUAAAAUGAAAUAAAACUUAAUUAAAAACCAUCCAUAUAGGAGGUAAUCAAAACAUAUUUAUUUUAUACAUAAGGAGAAAUAUCUUACAAUGGACGAGGGUAGGAAAAGCUUGAAGAAACUUGAAGGCUUGAGAGCUUACAUGAUGAUAGAAAGAAGAGAGAAGGAGGAGCAUAUGGAAUGGAAAAUUACAUUCUGCUUACAAAUGAGGACUGAUUUACUAAUCAAUAUGAUGAGGUUGUUUAAGAAAAUUGUUAUCUAGUAUAGUCUUUCAGUCCAACAUUGUGGAAGGGGUUUUUUUAAUUUAUUGAACAUGGCAAUGCUUCCUUCCAAUAUCUACAGAUAUGAACUUAUACCUUAUUUCACCAAACUUGUAUGUUGUUCAUGCAUGGUUAUGGUGUGAAAUUUUUGUUAUGGUAUGAUAUUUUGGUUCCCUUUCUGAUAAUGCUAACACAUUCUCUUUUUAUUCUGAUGAAAAUUCCCUCAUGGGCUGAAAAUUGGGUGUAGGUGCUUAAUCAUGUUUCUGUUCUUUCAGUUUAUAUUGGUUCCCUGAGAGAAUAAUAUAGCUAAUUAGACUCAUCCCUGUUGUUGCAUAGCAGAUGCAGAUCUUUGUUAAGACCCUUACUGGAAAAACAAUAACUCUCGAGGUUGAGAGUUCUGAUACCAUUGACAAUGUUAAGGCGAAAAUCCAAGACAAGGAGGGUAUCCCCCCUGACCAGCAAAGGUUGAUUUUUGCUGGAAAGCAGCUUGAGGAUGGCAGGACUUUGGCCGAUUAUAACAUUCAGAAAGAUUCCACCCUACACCUGGUCCUUCGUUUGAGGGGAGGAAUGCAAAUAUUUGUCAAAACGCUUACUAGAAAGACAAUCACACUUGAAGUUGAGAGUUCAGAUACAACUGACAAUGUGAAGGCAAAGAUCCAGGACAAGGAGGGUAUUCCUCCAGACCAGCAGAGGCUUAUCUUUGCUGGUAAGCAGCUGGAGGAUGGCCGGACAUUGGCUCAUUACAAUAUCCAGAAGGAGUCCACCCUUCAUUUGGUUCUCCGUCUGAGGGGUGGCAUGCAAAUUUUUGUGAAGACCCUUACUGGUAAGACCAUUACCCUUGAAGUUGAGAGUUCAGACACCAUCGAUAAUGUUAAAGCGAAAAUCCAGGACAAGGAGGGCAUUCCCCCAGACCAGCAGAGGCUCAUUUUUGCAGGUAAGCAGCUUGAGGAUGGCCGGACAUUGGCUGAUUAUAACAUCCAGAAAGAGUCCACACUUCACUUGGUUCUCCGUUUGAGAGGUGGCAUGCAAAUUUUUGUGAAGACCCUCACUGGAAAAACUAUCACACUUGAAGUUGAGAGUUCAGACACCAUUGAUAACGUUAAAGCAAAAAUCCAGGACAAGGAGGGUAUCCCCCCAGACCAGCAGAGGCUCAUAUUUGCUGGUAAGCAGCUCGAAGAUGGUCGGACAUUGGCCGAUUACAACAUCCAGAAGGAAUCAACCCUUCACUUGGUUCUCCGUUUGAGAGGUGGCAUGCAAAUUUUUGUGAAGACCCUUACUGGUAAAACUAUCACCCUUGAAGUAGAGAGUUCAGACACUAUUGAUAAUGUGAAAGCAAAAAUUCAGGACAAGGAAGGUAUUCCACCUGACCAGCAGAGGCUAAUCUUUGCUGGUAAGCAGCUAGAAGAUGGUCGAACUUUGGCUGACUACAACAUACAGAAGGAAUCAACCCUUCACCUUGUUCUCCGCUUACGUGGGGGUAUGCAGAUAUUUGUGAAGACCUUAACUGGUAAAACAAUCACUCUUGAAGUUGAGAGCUCAGACACAAUUGACAAUGUCAAGGCAAAAAUUCAGGACAAGGAAGGCAUUCCUCCUGACCAACAGAGGCUGAUCUUUGCUGGAAAACAGCUUGAGGAUGGCCGCACUUUGGCUGACUACAAUAUACAGAAAGAAUCUACGCUUCACCUUGUUCUUCGCCUUCGUGGAGGUAUGCAGAUUUUUGUGAAGACCCUGACAGGUAAAACGAUCACACUAGAGGUGGAGAGCUCUGACACCAUAGAUAAUGUGAAGGCAAAGAUUCAAGACAAGGAGGGCAUCCCUCCAGAUCAGCAGAGGCUCAUCUUUGCUGGAAAGCAGCUAGAGGAUGGGCGGACCUUGGUAGAUUACAAUAUUCAGAAGGAAUCUACACUUCAUCUUGUUCUUCGACUCCGUGGUGGUGAUGGCGGUUGCAGUUGGUGAGUGAUAGGUGGUUUGUUGGGGAGUCUAUGGAGCAGUUUAUUUAUCUUGUCUUCUGCAUUGUGGUAGGGUCCCUUGCAAUGUUUGGUGUCCAAUGGUAAACAAUGGUCGGUCUUGGCACCGAUUUGGAUUUGGAUUUACUUCAUAUAAUUAGUAUGUGGAUUUGGAUUAUAAGUAAAUAUUUGGAAUAUAUGUGUUAGAAACUCUAAACAAGUAAUGGUGGGUUGCAGUAUUUUGCUUCUACUUGGGCUUGUCAUGGUUAUAUUUGCAGAAGUUUAUAAUAAGCAUAAGUUUUUAAAAAUAUAAGACUGGGUCGUGUUAUGCUGAUUAGAGUUUAAUAUACCGAAAGUGUAUUCUGUUUAUUUAUUCAGUUUGGCCACAAUGGUUGAUGUAAAGACAAGUGACACUGAGAAGAGAUUCAUCCUCCCAUCAUUAAGAAAUUCAGUCAUUUUUAAACUCACAAAUGACUAUUCGUAUUCAUUCUUAAGACCAAAUAUGAUGAAUAAAUUCAUCUGUUUUCCGUCAACAAUACCGAUGUUGUUAUGAAUAAAUUCAUCUCUUGCUUGCAUUCCAUGCCAUUAGUUGCCUUCACCAACUUUGUAGAAAUAGGUGGCUUACAGAGGUAAAGGAUUUGGUCCACAAGAAAGACAUCUCUAAUUAUUUGUGUAGUUUUUAUUCAAAAGGACUUGUGGUAUAGUACUGUUUUUUUUUGGCUUUGAAUAGCUAAAUUUAUGUGUAUUUUGUAUCCCAUUGUGUGCAUUUCUUGGUGGCAGUGCAUGUAUCAUGGAAUUGAAAUUGAAAUUUUCAUCUGCUUUCCUUGGUUGGCCGCAUUGAAAUGCUAAUUUUUCUUUAGUAUCUUUCAUUAAAUCAAGGAUAAUACAAUUAGGCAUUUGAUGUUUUAAGAAUACAACAAAUCAAAGAGAAGGAACCUUAAUCAUUAGAUGUUACAAGAAAGCAACAAAUCUAAGUGAAUAAUUCCUAAGUUUUUAAUGUAUUAACAAACAUUCAACAAGAAUAAAUUAAGUAAAUAAAGGUUAGUAGAUAUGGAGAUCAAAUAUAGAUUUGAACACAUACAUUGAAGAGGAAAGAAAGCUUAAACAUUGUUUCCUAUAGAGUUUACAUCAAAUGGGCCUUACCCUAGUUAGAGAAUCUAACUAAGAAUGACUUGUUGGAAAUAAUCCUUCAUUUAUAGAUCUUCCAAGUCUUACAACCUUAUUCCCUCUACCAAAGUCUGUUUUAAAAAUUCCCCUUACCUGACUCUUAGUAUUUAUACUUGGAAAACCUUAAGAAUCUAGGACAAGUGGUAGCACCAUCCAAUGAUCAAAUGACUUCAAAAGUAGGUGAGGAAACAUCCAAGAAAGGGGUGGAUAUAGGCAUGUCUCACCCCUAAGGGGGUGCAAUAUGCCCAUAGGCAAGGCAAUAGGUGUGUUGCACCCUUAGGGGGUGUGCCAUUCCUAUGGCCAAGUCAAUGGGUGGUAUUCCCAUCCUAAGGGAUGUAUCGUAGGGGGUUUGGUUUUUUUGGUUUCUAUCAACCCAAAUGUGCACCUUCUAAAGUGCAGACUGCUUAUUUGUCUUAAUACUGAUCUCUGUCAUUGGUGCAAUGCACAAUCCUACCCCUAGUACACAUGAGCCUUUUUGAGUUUUUCUAAUUUUCAAAAUUCUCCCUUUAUCCUCUAUUAUCAAUUAGGCAUCUCUUGUUGUACUUUAAUGUUAAUUUGCCAAGUUCCCUAAAUGACUUAAAAAGAUGAUUAAAGGUCAUGAUUUGUACAAGAAGUAACCUAAUAGUGAGUUAAUUAUUCUUGUGAAAAUAACAAUUCUUAGUGCAAAUUAUGUAGUAGAAGUGAGAACCAAUAUCUCUAGAGGAUAUGAUAAUCCAUAUUAGGAUUAAUGAACAAAACAAAGAACCUAGACAAGGUGAGAAAGCCAAGGAACUUGCUUCCAUGACUAAUCUAGUAGAAGGAAUAUAAGCCCAAAGGUUACAUGAACAACAAAAGAGCAAUAAAGACAAAAAUAUGCCAUAGAAUCAGAAAUCUAAUAUCAAUUUUGUGGACUAAGUCCCAAAACCUUAAAUUUGAUAAAAGGGGAAAUUGCUUUGUUUGUGAAAAUUCCAGGCACUAUACAACACAAUGUAGACAUGGGAGAAGGAAUGAGGAACCAAAAAUCAAGACAAAUUUGGUUAACACUAAUGCAAUAGCUACAAUGGUUUCAUCUAAUAUGAACAUGAUCAGUGAUGUGAGGGAUUAGGUGGUGGACUCAAGAGGGCUACUAGGCAUAUCUCUGGCAAAAGGAUUGCAUCUACUUCCUACAUUAUAGUAGGGAUGUUGAGGAACAACUAUUAGUUGUCAACUUGAGGCCCUUGCCUAUGAUUGAAAGAGGGAAGGUGCCUUUCAAGCUUACUUAUGAAAGAGUACUUGCUCUUAAUGAUGUUCUUCAUGUGCUAAACAUUUGGAGGAAUUUAGUGUACAUACAUUUACUUGGGAAAGAGGGGUUAAGAUCAUGUUUGAAAUUGAAAAAAAUAUUCUCACGGGGAGAAGGCUAUUGUAAUUAGGGCUUAUUCAUAUUAAAUAUUUUAAAAAUUAUAAAUAAAAAUACUUUUAGGUUACAUUUGAAUGGCAGGAUAUGAUAGGAUAUGAUAUAUAUAUCUUAGGAUAUCAUAUUCCAUUUGAUAGGAUAUGAUAUAUUUGGAUAUACAUGUCUUAUACACAUAAUAUUUUAAAAUAGCAUCUCUAAUGAUAUAUGCUAUAUUAUAUUAUACUUAUAUUCAAUUUUUGAAAUGAAUAAAAAAUAAUAUGAAAUAUAUAUUAUUUUCGAUGUUUAAAAUAAAAAUUAUAUCACGUUUAAAUAUUUUCUAUUUAAAAAAUGAAAAUUUUGUUAUGUUUAACAAUAUUCAUGAUUAAAAUAUUUAAACUUUACAUAUAAUUUUUUUUAUAUUAUAUUAUUUAAUAUAUAAAAAUAAUUUAUAUAUCAUAUAUUAAUAUUAUUUUAUAAAUAUUUUUUUAGUUUUUCUUUUUUAAUCAUAAAUUUAAUUUAUAAUAAAAAAAAUAUUUUAUAAAAUGAGUAUAUUAAAAAAUAAAAAUUGAUAAAAAUAAAAUUUUGAUACAUGAUAUAUGUAUAUCUCAUAUCUUACAAUGGAAUUAACAUAUCAUAUAUAAAAGGGAUAAAAAAAAAAUGGUGGAUAAUAUAUCCCGCUACUUAUCAUAUCCCAUGUUUAGUUGAACAUACGAUAAAUGAUGGGAUAAUUUAUUAUAUCUCAUCACCAACCAAACAUGAAAUAAGAUAUAAUAUCCCCUCUUAUUCUAUAGACUUAGGCUACGUUUAGUGGAUAUGAUAUGCAUAUCCUAAUAUAUGAUUUCCAAUGAGAUGUGAUUUUUAAUGAGAUAUGAUAUCCUUGAAUAUACAUAUCGUAUGAACAUAAUAUUUUAAAGUAGUAUAUAUAAUUAAAUAUGUUAUAUUAUGUUAUAUUCAUAUUUAAUUUAUGAAAUGAAUAAAAAAUGAAAUAAAAUAUAUAUUAUUUUUAAUGUUUAAAAUACAAAUUAUAUAACAUUUAAAUAUUUUCUAUUUAAAAAAUGAAUUUUUUUUAUAUUAUGUUAUUUAAUAUAUAAAAAUAAUAUAUAUAUAUAUAUAUAUAUAUAUAUAUAUAUAUAUUAAUAUUCUUUUAUAAAUAUUUUUUUUUAGUUUUUCUUUUUUAAUCAUAAAUUUAAUUUAUAAUAAAAAAAAUUAUUUUAUAAAAUGGGUAUAUUAAAAAAAUAAAAAAUUAAUAAAUUUUUUUUGAUACAUGGGAUAUGUCUAUCUCAUAUCUUACCAUGAGAUUAAUAUAUCCCAUGUAAAAGGGAUAAAAAAAAAAGAAGAAAAAGAUGAUGAAUAAUAUAUCCCACCACUUAUCUUAUUCCAUAUUUAAUUGAACAUAAGAUAUGAUAUAAUAUCUCAUCUCUUAUCCUUAUCUUAUGCUAUAUCGAAUCAACCAAACAUGACCUUAAUUUUUUUACUUAUAUUAUUUACCUCAUGUGAUGUAUAAUAUGUUAGACUUGGAUAUAUGAACUAUUCUUACGUAAAAGAAAAUGAUAGACAUUGAAUUUAUACCUAAAAUACCUUUAGGAAAUCUUGGAAAAUGUGAAAGUUAUAUAGAAUCUAAAAGCACCAAGCAAACUUGCAAGUAGCAUAAUCACAAACAAAACUUAUGACUUAAGUAAUUAAAAAAAAUACAAUGAUCGAGGUGAUGAAAUAUUUUACAUAAUCUUUAUAGAUAACUCAUAUAAUAGUAUAUCUUGAGGAAUAAAAAUGACAAUAGCCUAGUUUUCAUAGAAUAUGAACACAAAAGUUAAGACCCAACUAAGUAAAAAAAUCAAAAGACUAAAACAGAGCAUGGAGGGGAAUGAGUCAAACCUUUUCAACCCCAUUUGUGAAGAUCACGAGAUUAUUAAGAAGAUAACUCAUUCAUGUUCCUUAAUUAAGAUGAUGUUUGUUUUUUUACUUAAUUUUAAAUAGAACCUUAAUGCUUAAUAGUGUUAAAUAUUAGGUUGUUUGUUUUUGUAAUAUUUUAUUUUUAUUAAGUAUUAAAAAGUAAAAAAAAAUCAAUAUGUUAUUUUUUCUAUUUAGAAAAAGUUAAGUAUUUUGGUUUUUUUUUAUUUAGUAAAAAGUCUAUAAUAAGUCGUGAAAAAGUAAAAUAACAAACAACCUAAAUUCUGAAAACAAAUUACUUUCAGCAAAAAGCCAAAAAAAUAAACACCACCUAAGAGUGCAUUUAGUACUUAGUACUGAUUUUAAAAAAAUGCUUUUAACCUUUUUAAUACUUUGAAAUUUUUAUUUUUUAAGUAUUAAAAAAGCUAAAAAUAUUUUCUUAAAAUUACUAUCAAACUCAUUCUAAAUAUGUAAGUAAAAGAAAGAAUUGAACCUUUAAAGAUACGAUGAAUGCAAUUAUAGUAAGCUCAUGAGCACCCUUAAACCCCCUUAAGGACGUUUGAACAUUCUAAUCAUUAUAUUUUGUCUAUCAUGUCACAUUUUAAUAUAAUCAAUCCCAUUGCAAUGAGAAGUGUUAUCACUCUUGAUAGACUCAAUAAUCAAUAAAAUUUAUUGAAAUAAAAACUUGUUUUAAUUUUUAAAUGUGAUGUGAUCAUUUAAAAAGUGAUGAUAUUUUUUUUAAACAUGUUUUCUUUCUUUUUCUUUUUCUUUUUAAAAAUAAAUUUUAUUUGAUGUUAUACAUGCUCUUGAUCAUCUAGAAUCUCUUUAUUAAAUAUAUUAGUUAUUCUAAUAUUAAUUUUUUUUUAUAAAUAUUUAAUCCAAUUAAAAUAUUAAACAACUAGAAAAUAAAUAUUUUUGAAAUUCAUGCAUUAUGUAAUUAUCUUUUUAUAUAUAAAUUCUUGCUGUUCAAAAAUGAUAAUUUAGCAAAACUAAAUAAAUAAAUUAUUCUUUGUUCUUUAAUGCCUUUAUUAAAUAUAUUAACUUUUUUUAACAUUAAAGAGUCCUACAAAUACUCAUUAAUAAUUUAAUUAUAUAUAUAUAUAUAUAGAUGUAAUAUUUAUCUUUUCAUAAAUAAAUUAUUAUCCAUUGAAAAUGAUAAUUUUUUAAAUAAAAAUAAUUAAUAAUUUAUAUCUAUAAAAAAUAAAUUCUAAAAAAAUUUACUACGAUUAAUAAUACUAUUUAUUUAUUUUUAUAAUAAAUUAAAUGAUGUGACUAAGUAAGUAUUUGAUAAAAUUUAAUAUUUAUUACUUAAUGAUUUAAGUUGAUUUUAAGUUAAAUUUUUCUUAUUAACUUAAAUCUUAUUAUUUAUUUUUUACUUCAAAUAUUAAGAUUAUUUAAUAAAAUUAACUUAAAAUUUAUUUUAAGUUUUUAAAUUGACAUAUUUACCAUUCUGUGAUUAAUGUUUAUCAUCAUUAAUUUUAAUUAAUAUUUAUUUUCAUUAAUCUUAUAUAAAUAUAUAAAGUAAUUUAAAAAUAUUUAUUAUAAAAAACGAGUAAUGGAUGUGGAGUCAUAUUGUUAAUUAUAUUUUCAUUAAAUAAGAGCAAAUAAGAUAAAAAUAAAAUAAAAUUGAGAUUAAGAAUAAUUUGACUAUUUUAACUUAAUACUUAAAGUCAUUUUUAACUUUAAAUUGUGAUAUUGAGUCAUUUUACUAAACAUAUUUAAUAUACUUAGCAACUUAAAUUAAGUUAUUAAAUCACUUUAGGUUGUUAAAUUGAUUUCCUAAAUAUCAUCUAAGCUUUGUUAUUUUGUUUGUUAAAAAAUUAUUCUCUACUAAUACUCUUUCAUACAAACCCUUAAAAUAAGUGGAUAAAAAAUUAUUUAAAUGCACCUACAAUUGUAAAAAAAAAAGAAAAAAAAAAGUGAAGAAACUUUGUAGUAAGAAUAGUUAAAAGAAAUUUGGAUAAAGACAUGAAUUAUUUCACUAGAAUAAAGAAAAUAAAAUACAAAUACAGAUUUAUUCUAUUUUUUCAUUUAUGAAUUGUUAUUUAACAAUAAAAAAAUUAUUUUUAUAGAAAUCAAAACUCAUUCUUGCUUAAAUUCCUUUUUUUUUUUUUUUUGUUUAAAAUCUAAAUAGACUUGAAUUUGACUUAAAUUUCUUAGUAUGUUGAAGAGUUUAGGUUGUUUAUUUUGUAAGUAUCUAAAUUAAGUCUUAAGUUGUUUGCUUUUCUUAAUAAUUGAAUCUUUGUUAAUUGUUAAAUCUAUUUAUUUUUACAUAUUAAAAGCAUCUAUAAAAUUAAUUAUUUUAUUUCUUCUUAUAUUGAUUUGAAAAAAAACACAAUUUAAGAUAUUUCUAAAUAUCUCAAAAUUUUAUAAUUUAUUACCAUAAUAAAAAUUUACAAUAACUAAUUUUAUAAUUAGUAAGAAAUCAAUAAUUGAAUAAUACGUAAGAUUUCUAAUUAUGCUUGGUUGCUACAAAAUUAUUAGGAAUUUUUAAGUGAAUACUUGCUUUUAUUUGGUAUAUCGUUAAAUUUAUGAAUUCGAAUUGAAAUUUGUAUUUGUGUUGUGAAAAAAUCAUCACAAAGAAUAAUAAUACAGAGGAAAGAAAAAGAAAAUAAAAACAAAACACACAACGAUCUACGUGGUUUUACCUCAAACCUACAUCCACAAUUGAAGAUGAAGAAGAACUUCCAUUAUUAUCAAAGGAAAUUACAACCUUAGAUCUCUCAUAUCCUAAAGUCUCAAUUUUGGUUAUUUCUUCCUAUAUAUUUUUUCUAAUUAUAAAGGAAGAUUUCGUAUAAGAAAAACUAAGUGUAUAAUUGUCAAAGAUAAAUUUUCCUACAAGAAAAUCUUUUCCUUUUAAAUCCAUUUACAAGAAUAUCUUCUAUUAGUAAAUUAUCAAUAACUUUCUUUUCUAACAUAAUUGAAAUUACUUCAUUAAGAUUUUUAAUUUGGGAAAGCUUAUUAAAUUCUAACUUUUCAUUUUUUAAAUUUAAAUAAAAUAUUAAUUUUAAUGGACAUUUAGAUCAUUAUGAAUUAUAUUUUGGAUUUUCAAUUAAAAUUUCCUUGGAUUUAAUGAUUAUUAAUUUCUUUUAGUUAUUUAUAUGGUAAGAAGUUGAAAAUUUAAAAUUUAUAAUUUAUCAUAAAUUUAUUUAUUUUUAUUAAUUUUUUUAUAUUACUUAUUUUGAAAAAUAAAAAAAUUAUUAUUACAAAAUUAAAUUUAUGAUUUAAAAAAUAUUUAUAAAAUAAUAUUAAUAUAUGUUUAACUAAACUUAUAAGAAUUGAAUAAAAUUUAAAUAUAUGUUUAAUAUACGUUAAUUUAAGAUUUGAAUAAUAAAAAUUAAAAUAAUUAUAAUUAUACUUGGUUUUUUUAUUAAAUAAGAUCAAAUAUAAAAAAAUUCUUUUUUUUUCCUUCUUUUUGAGUAGUUUCCGAGAACCCAAACAGAAAGCUUUAUAAAUUGGGAGAAUUGUGUUUUGGGCCCAGCUGGGCCCAAAAAUUAAGAAAUGGUCCAUCUAACCGACCCAUUUAAGCUGAAAACCCAUAGGAAGUGUCAAAAUUAAAAAGAAGGAUAUGCACUUUUAUUAAUUCCAAAAAUAACCUUUGCUGAUUAUGAAAAAAAAAAUAUAAUAAACAAAAAAAGCCAGGUUGGAAUUUUGCCCUAUGUCUCUUCAGAUUUCAAGCCUCCGUUUUCUUCUCUUCGUCUGCGGCUCUUGGGAAUUUUGCCCUAAUUUUGCUCUCUUCAGCGUUUCAAGCCUAUAAGCCAUUUUCUUCUUUGCCUAGAAGUCGUUUUCUUCUCUGCCUAGAAGCCGUUUUCUUCUCUGUCUAGAAGCCGAUUUCUUCUUUGCCUAGAAGCCGUUUUCUUCUCUACCUAUAAGUCAUUUUCUUCUCUGCUUAGAAGCCGUUUUUUCUGUUCCUCCCGAGUUUCUCCAUCGCUUGCAUCUCAAUCUUUGUGGCUUUUUGGAAUUUUGCCCUAAUUUUGGUCUCUCUUCAGCAUUUCAAGCCUAGAAGCCGUUUUAUUCUCUUCCUCCCGAGCACUUCCAUCGCUUGCAUCUCAAUCUCUGCGGCUCUUUCAUUUUUUCUCGCAUUCGGCUGUCUCAAAAAUUUGAAUAAGGUAUGGAUUUCAGUUGGGUAUCUCUUGUUGCAUAUUUGAGGUUAGUAGAUUGCCUAAAUUUUGGUCUCUUCAACAUUUCAAGCCUAGAAGCCAUUUUCUUCUCUUCCUCCCGAGCACCUCCAUCGCUUGCAUUUCAAUCUCUGCGGCUCUUUCAUUUUUUCUCGCAUCCGUCUCUCUCGAGAAUUUGAAUAAGGUAUGGAUUUCAGUUGGGUCUCUCUUGUUGCAUAUUUGAGGUUAGUAGAUUGCCUAAAUCUCGACCUAAAUUUUCUUAGUCCAAAUCUCUAAACUGUGUUCAACUUGAUCUCUGGAGUUCAAGUUAGUGUUCCCAUUCAAUAAUUGACUUCUUGGUUUGGUACUAUUAUUCGGAUGCUGAGAAAGUAAUGAGACAAAGAAAGGAAAAAUUUUGAACCAUAAUUUUUUCUUUAAUCCUUGAGAAUACAGAAAAUGCACUUUACCUACAACUCAUGAUUCAUGGCUUAAUCGAUCUGAUUAAAUUUUUGUAAUUUUUUUUAGAUUUUUAUUUCAUGGUAUUUGUAUAUUUUAAAUUCAAAAAAAUAUUUGUGAAAAAUUGUCAUAUAUACUUGAAAAUAAUUUAUAAUUGUUUAAUUGGUUGCUAGAAAACCAGGAGAGGAAAAAGGGAAAAGGGAAAUGGAUAACCUAAAAACCCUAAAGUUUUCUUAUGGUGCAUUGGCUUGAGAUGUAGGCACAAGUAACAGAUUUAUCUCUUUUUAUCUAUNNNNNNNNNNNNNNNNNNNNNNNNNNNNNNNNNNNNNNNNNNNNNNNNNNNNNNNNNNNNNNNNNNNNNNNNNNNNNNNNNNNNNNNNNNNNNNNNNNNNNNNNNNNNNNNNNNNNNNNNNNNNNNNNNNNNNNNNNNNNNNNNNNNNNNNNNNNNNNNNNNNNNNNNNNNNNNNNNNNNNNNNNNNNNNNNNNNNNNNNNNNNNNNNNNNNNNNNNNNNNNNNNNNNNNNNNNNNNNNNNNNNNNNNNNNNNNNNNNNNNNNNNNNNNNNNNNNNNNNNNNNNNNNNNNNNNNNNNNNNNNNNNNNNNNNNNNNNNNNNNNNNNNNNNNNNNNNNNNNNNNNNNNNNNNNNNNNNNNNNNNNNNNNNNNNNNNNNNNNNNNNNNNNNNNNNNNNNNNNNNNNNNNNNNNNNNNNNNNNNNNNNNNNNNNNNNNNNNNNNNNNNNNNNNNNNNNNNNNNNNNNNNNNNNNNNNNNNNNNNNNNNNNNNNNNNNNNNNNNNNNNNNNNNNNNNNNNNNNNNNNNNNNNNNNNNNNNNNNNNNNNNNNNNNNNNNNNNNNNNNNNNNNNNNNNNNNNNNNNNNNNNNNNNNNNNNNNNNNNNNNNNNNNNNNNNNNNNNNNNNNNNNUUUUUAUUCUNUAAUUUGAAUCUUUAAUUUCCAUUCAGUUUACAUUUCUCAUUUUGUUUUUUAUUUUUAUUAUUAUUUUUAGUUUUGUUUAGGUAUGUAGUAUUUAUCAGUCCAAGAGAAGAGAGAAGCUCGGUCUUCAUAUCUUAGUUCAACUCACCGUUUGUUUAUUAGUGCCUAUCUUAAAAUAAUCUUACCGUUGACAAUGGUUAGAAUAAUCAAAAGGAGCAACAAAAAUUAUUUUUUAAGACUUUAAAGUUACAUUUUUUUAUAUAUACAUUUUUUAAAAUAUAACUUUUUUGUAUGGGAACACAGUAUAUUGUGAGAUGAAAAAACUUUUAAGAUCACAUUGAAUAUGCAUUAUUGUUUGUUCAACAAUAUAAAUUUGUGCUUUAUUUCAAUAGGUUGAUGGAUGCCACAAAUAGAAUAUACUGUCAUAUUUUCGUGGGAGGCAAACUUGUCCAAAAAAAUGAUGGCCUUUGGGAAUAUGUUGGUGGAAGAAGCAAAGGUAUUCACAUUUAUAAAGGAAUGACAUUUGAAGAAUUCAAUCAGAAGGUCUUAGAAAAAUUCGACAUUUCCCUUCAUGUGAUGAGGAUGCACUACACCCUCAAGUUUAACCCUAGAGUCAUCCAAGAUUUAGAAGAUGAGGAUGACUUGGAUAACGUGGUUUCCCACAGUGAUGACUUUGCAAAUGUGUACAUAGUCGAGUCACCCGGUGUGGAAGCCAUAGAGGCAAAUAUACCAAAUACACAGUUGGCACUUGGGUAAUGCGUUUUCACUUGGAUGUCUAUUUAAAAUUUGAUGAAUAUCAAUUUUACGCAUUAUGUAGUCUAAUUUUGGUUAUGAAUGUAAAUGCAGAGGUCCACAUCCUACGUUUCCUUCGUCUAAUGCAUCAUGCGAUGCAAAUCCUAAUACUAUGAUGUUAUCAAGAGGUUUUGCAUCGCGUUGUGCAGAUACUGAGUACACCCUUUUGGAAUCGAAUCGGUUUCGUGAGGCAAUAUUAGGUUCCAGACAUACAUUUAAGAAUGCAGAUGAGUUUCGGAAUGCAAUAUACCAAAUGUCAUUAGCUGGAAGGUUUCAAUACAAGUACAAGAAAAAUUCACCUACACAUAUGUCAGUAAAGUGUUCGGUUGAGGAUUGUCCUUGGAAGAUAACAACUCAUGCUGUUGAAGGAAAUGAAAUAUUACGAGUUUAUACUUACCAAGUUAAUCAUAAUCAUAUAGCUCAAGAUGAGUGUUCAUCUAAGGUGCGGGUUUCUUCCAAGAGAGGUGUUGUUGUUGUUGAAGACGUGUUUAGAACAACUCCAGAAUACCUUCCUCGACAAAUUUGCAAGGAUUUUGAACGUGAUCAUGGAGUUCAAUUGACUUAUAACCAAGCAUGGCAUCUUAAAGAGAAGACAAAAGAGCGUGUAUAUGGAUCUCCACGUGCGUCCUACGCGUAUUUGCCUUGGUUAUGCCAUAGGCUAAGGGAAAUUAACCCUGGAACUAUUGCCGAGUACACUUCUCAUGAAGGUCACUUCAAGCAAUUGUUCAUUGCCCACGCAUUUUCAAUUCAAGGGUUCACCAUGGGGUGUCGACCGGUAUUGGCUAUUGAUUCUUACCACCUAAGUGGUCCAUACAAAGAAGCUCUUUUGUCUGCCAUUGCAUAUGAUGCAGAUGAUGGAAUGUUCCUUCUAGCCUUGGGUGUGGUUGGUUCAGAAAAUUAUGAAGAUUGGUAUUGGUUCUUGNNNNNNNNNNNNNNNNNNNNNNNNNNNNNNNNNNNNNNNNNNNNNNNNNNNNNNNNNNNNNNNNNNNNNNNNNNNNNNNNNNNNNNNNNNNNNNNNNNNNNNNNNNNNNNNNNNNNNNNNNNNNNNNNNNNNNNNNNNNNNNNNNNNNNNNNNNNNNNNNNNNNNNNNNNNNNNNNNNNNNNNNNNNNNNNNNNNNNNNNNNNNNNNNNNNNNNNNNNNNNNNNNNNNNNNNNNNNNNNNNNNNNNNNNNNNNNNNNNNNNNNNNNNNNNNNNNNNNNNNNNNNNNNNNNNNNNNNNNNNNNNNNNNNNNNNNNNNNNNNNNNNNNNNNNNNNNNNNNNNNNNNNNNNNNNNNNNNNNNNNNNNNNNNNNNNNNNNNNNNNNNNNNNNNNNNNNNNNNNNNNNNNNNNNNNNNNNNNNNNNNNNNNNNNNNNNNNNNNNNNNNNNNNNNNNNNNNNNNNNNNNNNNNNNNNNNNNNNNNNNNNNNNNNNNNNNNNNNNNNNNNNNNNNNNNNNNNNNNNNNNNNNNNNNNNNNNNNNNNNNNNNNNNNNNNNNNNNNNNNNNNNNNNNNNNNNNNNNNNNNNNNNNNNNNNNNNNNNNNNNNNNNNNNNNNNNNNNNNNNNNNNNNNNNNNNNNNNNNNNNNNNNNNNNNNNNNNNNNNNNNNNNNNNNNNNNNNNNNNNNNNNNNNNNNNNNNNNNNNNNNNNNNNNNNNNNNNNNNNNNNNNNNNNNNNNNNNNNNNNNNNNNNNNNNNNNNNNNNNNNNNNNNNNNNNNNNNNNNNNNNNNNNNNNNNNNNNNNNNNNNNNNNNNNNNNNNNNNNNNNNNNNNNNNNNNNNNNNNNNNNNNNNNNNNNNNNNNNNNNNNNNNNNNNNNNNNNNNNNNNNNNNNNNNNNNNNNNNNNNNNNNNNNNNNNNNNNNNNNNNNNNNNNNNNNNNNNNNNNNNNNNNNNNNNNNNNNNNNNNNNNNNNNNNNNNNNNNNNNNNNNNNNNNNNNNNNNNNNNNNNNNNNNNNNNNNNNNNNNNNNNNNNNNNNNNNNNNNNNNNNNNNNNNNNNNNNNNNNNNNNNNNNNNNNNNNNNNNNNNNNNNNNNNNNNNNNNNNNNNNNNNNNNNNNNNNNNNNNNNNNNNNNNNNNNNNNNNNNNNNNNNNNNNNNNNNNNNNNNNNNNNNNNNNNNNNNNNNNNNNNNNNNNNNNNNNNNNNNNNNNNNNNNNNNNNNNNNNNNNNNNNNNNNNNNNNNNNNNNNNNNNNNNNNNNNNNNNNNNNNNNNNNNNNNNNNNNNNNNNNNNNNNNNNNNNNNNNNNNNNNNNNNNNNNNNNNNNNNNNNNNNNNNNNNNNNNNNNNNNNNNNNNNNNNNNNNNNNNNNNNNNNNNNNNNNNNNNNNNNNNNNNNNNNNNNNNNNNNNNNNNNNNNNNNNNNNNNNNNNNNNNNNNNNNNNNNNNNNNNNNNNNNNNNNNNNNNNNNNNNNNNNNNNNNNNNNNNNNNNNNNNNNNNNNNNNNNNNNNNNNNNNNNNNNNNNNNNNNNNNNNNNNNNNNNNNNNNNNNNNNNNNNNNNNNNNNNNNNNNNNNNNNNNNNNNNNNNNNNNNNNNNNNNNNNNNNNNNNNNNNNNNNNNNNNNNNNNNNNNNNNNNNNNNNNNNNNNNNNNNNNNNNNNNNNNNNNNNNNNNNNNNNNNNNNNNNNNNNNNNNNNNNNNNNNNNNNNNNNNNNNNNNNNNNNNNNNNNNNNNNNNNNNNNNNNNNNNNNNNNNNNNNNNNNNNNNNNNNNNNNNNNNNNNNNNNNNNNNNNNNNNNNNNNNNNNNNNNNNNNNNNNNNNNNNNNNNNNNNNNNNNNNNNNNNNNNNNNNNNNNNNNNNNNNNNNNNNNNNNNNNNNNNNNNNNNNNNNNNNNNNNNNNNNNNNNNNNNNNNNNNNNNNNNNNNNNNNNNNNNNNNNNNNNNNNNNNNNNNNNNNNNNNNNNNNNNNNNNNNNNNNNNNNNNNNNNNNNNNNNNNNNNNNNNNNNNNNNNNNNNNNNNNNNNNNNNNNNNNNNNNNNNNNNNNNNNNNNNNNNNNNNNNNNNNNNNNNNNNNNNNNNNNNNNNNNNNNNNNNNNNNNNNNNNNNNNNNNNNNNNNNNNNNNNNNNNNNNNNNNNNNNNNNAAUGUGGUAUCCUUUAACUUGAUGUAUACUUUCACUUCCCUAUUUUAAGUAUGUCCUACUCACAUCAUUGGAUGCGUGCAUUUUUCUUAUCACUUAGCUGAACUUUCAUAGUAUUGUACUAUACUUGCUGUCUAGUUAUUCAGUUGGUCAGUUUAUCUGUGCAUUACAUUCUACUUUUCUAUGCCCAAUGAUGCAGUUAUAAUAUUAACAAUGGCUGGUAAUGGCUUAGAUGGUUCUGCUGCCAGUUCACUCCCACUCUCGGUAUGGUUCAUCAUACUUGCUUAUCUUUGUUGUUUUUUGCAUUCUUCCGUUGCCAACAUACUAUUUGAGAGGUUUUCGCUUCUGUAGUACAGUGCCACAAGAACUUAUAAUCUAUAGUCAUGCAAUUUUAAUGUAUUGUCAGAACAUAAAUCAGAAUGCAUGUUGGUCUCAAAAUGGGUGAAAUUUCAUUUUAUGAUAUUUUACAUAUUUGAAUUGGUGUGAACAAAUUACUCCCUUGUUUAUAUAUAAUCUGAAAUCCUUUUAUGAAAUUUUCAUUUUCAGAUACCUUUUAAGUUAGUAUAUAUAUAUAUUAUGCAUGAAAUUUAAGUGAUUUCUUCAUGUCCCUUAUUAUAGUUACCAUGUAUCAGUUAUGUUAGAAAGUUCUCUAAUAUUGAAGUUUUAACAAUUCAACGUUUAUUUAUUAAAUACUAUUAUAUCAGCUUUGUAAGUUGUCGGGUAAUAUUUGUGUUCAAUUUGGUAAUAUAGAAAAUGUGGUUCACUAACACCAUAUACAAUUAUGCUUUAGGGAUCUAAUGGUCUUCGCUAUACAGCUGUGGGGAUAGGCAAAAACCAUGUCCUCUAGGAUGAGGGAGGAGGGUAGAGGAAGGGAUAAAGAGAGGUGUUCUGGUAUGAAUGGUGAUGGGGAUGGGAUUAACUCUUUAGCCACUUGAGUUAUAGGUAACCCUUACCUCUGUAGCCACUUUAGCCAGGUCCCCAGGGUUAAAUGAUCACAAUUAUUUAUGGGGACCUCAAUGGUAUUGAGACAUUAGGCUUCUUUUUGCUUCACCUUCUAAGUGAUUUAAAUAUGAAGGUGGAGAGCCAUGCCUUGCCAAUUUCUCACUGCCUUGGACUCUGGACAUAUCUUUUUUUCGGGUGGCAAAUUCUGUAUUAUUUUUUGUUUCUAAGAUUCAAACAAUUGACUUAAGCAAGGUGCAUAGCUCUCUACACACUUCAUAUACCAGUAUUUUGAACCAGUUACAUAAAUUCAUUUACGGUGAUUCACGCACUGACCAAGAAAACUGAUGUGGCAAACUUGUACCCAAUGUGGCUUUUGCCAGGAGCAGUACAGACAUUUAAAAUUGCUCAUGUAUAUCUUCUUGCAGAAUCCUUACAACAAUGAAAAUACUUCUAUAAGUUAACAGAAAAAAAAAACAUAAAGUCAUAGCACAUAACUUUUAUUCUCCAACAUAAAGUAUGGUUUCCAAACUCCUCUUCAUUCAUUUAAUUCUCCAACACUCAUGGAUUCAUCUUAUUUAUUCUUGUUUUCAAGCGUAAACAUACUCUUUGUUUACUAUUCUACAAAAAAGUAUGUAGUAGCAUUUCAUAGUGUAUCAUUACCUUAUUUUAAAUGCCCACUUCCUCUUUUCUGCAAAUUUUAGAUUAUUAUGGCCAUUGAAUCAGAUUCAAGCCUCAAAACUUUCACAAGUUUCAAUUAAUAGUCCUAGGUUACAUUUAUUUUCCCAUGAAUCCUCACUCAGCUAACAACUUAGGUAUGAAUGAACUUUGGUCAAACACAUGAUUCGUGGUAUCAAAUGAUAGUGUACAAUUCUUCACUGAUAGUUAGUACCAUGUGGGAAUACUCUCAACAGAAACUUGGAUUCCAAACCUUGUCCAUGUUCAAUGGCAAUAGCAAAGUGCUUGCUCUAGCAGUUCCUCUAGAUUUUGUGUAUGUCAGAAGUAUCAAAAGGAGCAGGUUAAAUAGGAUUAUUCAUUGAUUUGUUGAUGGUUUCUUUCUCUAAUAUAAUUAGUCAAUUUAUUUACAUAAAUUGAUUUGAUUUCUUUCUUUUAUAUAUCAUGUAGUAUUCUCAUAUUUAUUUUUUUCUUUUAUAGUCUAUUCUGUACAUUUUGACUGUUAUUGCCUAUUCUAUAUAGCCUUAUUCAUAAAUUUUCAAUCCUCCCUUUUACAGGAUAUCUCACUAUUAGUAGCACCCAACCCCAUCUAAUGUCUUACCCUGCUGUAUAUUAUUUCUAAAUACAAGCAGACAAAUCUUUGUAACUUUGAGAAAUGACAGCUUUACUUUUUCACUUAUUUUAUUGCAUUACCAACUGCAAGAAUGUUGCUAUUCCUAACAUGUCCAUGUUUUCUAACAUUGCAUGCAGGGCACAUCAAUGUUUACACGAUGCUCAGCUGCAAGAUUUAAGAAACUGUGCAACCGAUUACCAGAGGCAAAAAUUCAAGCCAUAAGAGACCUCCAAUUUGGAGGUCUCUUAAACUUAAACUGCACAGAGGUGCGCCACAACCUCUGUAUCUUUCUAAUCCAACAUUUCAAUGUUGGAUUUAGACGGAUAGAGUUCUCAGCCCAGAAACACUAUCCUGUUACAGCCACCGAUGUUGGCCUCAUUUUAGGCCUCCCAACAGAAGGACGGAAUUUGCAGGUGACCUCCACAUCAUCAGAUCAUCCAUUUGGGACUAUUCGGGCAUGCGAGGAGAAACUCCUAGACUUACCUGUAGGCGAGGAGUUCCGUAGAGCAUUCAUUUACUACGCAUGUGCCACAUUGUUGGCCCCCACGUCUAGGCUCAAUGGUUGCCGUAACUUGUGGCAUACCAUCCAUGAGGAUGGAUUCCGAAAUGAUGUUAAUUAGGCCCAGUUUGUGCUUGACCAACUGGUUGAGGGAAUUAGGCGAUACCAACAAUCUAAGACCUCUUGGGUACAUGGCUGCGUUUUAUUUCUUCAGGUAGUGAACUUAUUCAGUCUUUGUCUUCCAUUUUGUUAUCUAAUUUUAUUGCACAACAUAUUCACAUUUGCCUACUGAUGUUUCUAUUUAUUUUGCAACUGCAUUAUGUCAUUAAAUUCCAAAUUCCUUCAAUCCAAGUCCCCAUUACAGUGCCCCCAGCAUUGGCAUGGAUUGAUGAUUUGAUUAAGCGACGACUAGUCGCUGAGAUAAAGGAGUUUGGAGCAUUCGGACAUGCUGAGAUUGAUUUUGUAAGUUAUGCAUGCAUAAAUAUAUUGUCAUUACUAGCAUAACACUCAUUAUUUAAGUACUAAUCUUCAGUGCUAAUUAUAGGCGUCCCAGAGAUCUCCAACCGUAGAGAGAACUAUGGAGCUAGAGACUAAUGUGGACCAUGACACAAAUGUUGAUGCUGAAAAUAGUGAUGUAAGCUGUGAAUUUUUCAAAAACUUAAUAAAUGUUCAUUUCAUUGUCAUUGUAAUUUAUUUUUACUUUUUAACUACAAAGAAAUAUGUUGUUGUCACAUUCUGUUCUCAAAGAUUGACAUCAAUAUCAUGUCAUAGGAAAUAUGGCAUCAAUAUCAUGAUGCAGAACGAGCAAUCGACCAAUAUCAAAGGGGCAUUCAGCAGCAGCAGAGAAUAAUGCGUGGCCUUAUGCAUAAGUUAGGGACUCGCAGACAUAGUGGGGUAAAUUCAGAUGCGGGUGGUCACUCUAGCUAUGCACCAGCCAGCACUCCCACAGCCGAUGACCAUGCAUUUCCUGGUGAUGAGUACAUGGCUUCGCAUGCUGCAUACCAUGUGCUAGACACACCAGAUCGCGUUGUCGCCCCUGAGUAUGAGUUGUAGCCCAGUGUACCCAUUAAUGUAGUAAGCGGUAAGUGAUAAAAAUGAAUGCAAACACCCAUAUGGUUAACAACCCAAGUACCCAAUCAUAAUGUAUACCUUUGCUGACUAGUUCUAAAUCUCAUAUUGCAGAUGGUGAAGAACAACCAGAAGGUAAUGUUGUCCCCACAAAUAGAAACGUCCGGAGACGUCGAGUGCGUCGAAUGGCUCCAAACUUGUUGUCCCCAUACAUAUCCCAACCACAAACGAAACAAUCUGCCAUCAAAAUUGACCUAAAACAAGGAGCUGCACUGGUAUUUGGAGACGAUUUGGAUGCAAGGUAACAUACUUGAGUGACACUCCUCUCAUUGUAUGAUAGUGAAAACACAAAAACUAAAUUGUAUUUUUUUGUAACAGUGAGGAACUAGUGUCUAUGCAUGACACUAUCCUAACCAGAGGCAAUUUGGGCUGCUUCGAAGGGAAUGGGUGGAUAGGAAACGACGUGCAUAUCAUUUCUUAUCCCUCUUUAUGCAUUAUUUUAAGUUUGAAAAUGAAAGUUUCGUUCUAAUAUAAUUUGUUGCUUACACUUUUAUGAUAUACGAAAUCAGGUCGUCGAUGCCUACUGUAGAUUGUUGCAGUAUCAACAUGAACCGAAGUCGAAACUUUUUCUAUCCCCCUACAUAGCUGUAAUGAUGACUAAUCCAUUAAAUCCUUGCUUAUCUUUAUUUUUUGUCUUGAACCAGGCAUCACCUACAAUGACAAACCUGAUAUUAUCCCGUAUUUGACAUGCAGGAAAUGGUAAUCCACUCCCAGGCAAAACACUUAGUGAGGGAGGCAGUUAUUGGACGCUUUGAACCACAUCUGUAUUAGAUUGAUAUUCCAUAUGUCAAUGUUAACGAGGUGGAUUCCUAUGUUUAAUGCUUGGAUUUGUAUUUUUAUUGCAUGAAUGUACAAUAUUUAGAUGUAUGUUUAAUGGUAGUCUAUUGGUGCAGGUCUUCUUACCGGUUCUCAUAAAGAACCAUUGGACAUUGUAUGUAUAUGACCUAGAAAACAGGAGAAUCCAACUGCUAGAUUCUCGUCCUGGUAGAAAGAAGACAAUGUUGAGUGGAGUUCAACAAAAUCUGGUAAAGUAACAAGCAACAAGUAAUAAUUUGUUAGGUAUGUCUUCCCAUAAAAAUUUCAAUUGUUGCGUUAAUAAAUGUUUCAGGCCAAGGUUGUCCUGUGGUUGGCUGCCCACAAAAAAGAGGUAUCACCUUAUGAUUUGAGGACAUUCAAUUUCAUAACACCUGAUGUACCCGUCCAAACUAAUGAGUGAGUGUUAACCUUGCAGUCCGGGAUAUUGUAUAGGAUUGCAAUUUAUUUGAAGUUCAUCUCUUAUUUAUAAUUCCACACUUAAUAACGUUUUGGUAAUUAUAUUGACGUAGGCACGAUUGCGGAGUUUUUGUAAUGAAAUUCAUGGAAUUGUGGUCAGUGGGGGGGUUCUCCAAAUCAAUCGAUGUGGUACAUAGGAGGAAUUAUCUAUGACUAUCUCAUUAUUGUUAAAAUAGUUAGAAAAGCCUAAUUAAUUAAUUUGCUGAUUUGUUGCUAUCAACAUGAAUGAACGCAGGGGAAAUUGAAACAUUACAGGUUGAAGAUCAUGAGGAGUAUGUUGUUCUCAGCACAAAAUGCACACCGAGACCGUGUCCGGAGAGAUUAAAGGGGAUUGUAAUUUGUGAUAAGACUGUAUAAAGUUAGCACAUUUGUAUGUAAUUUAUGGUGGACAAAUGUAGUUAUUUAAUAUUUUUUUUUUUUUGGUGACUAUGCAUGCUAGAGAGGGUUUUGGUGAAUUGGGUGGAAACCUGUUGUUUUUUGUGAUUUGGAGUUGUAAGGGUUUGGGUGAGGAGAAUAGUACUGAUAUCAUGGUUGAGGAGUUUAUUAUUAAGGGAUUGAAAGUAACAUUUUAGGAUUCCUUGCACACCGUUUUAUCCUUUCCGGUUCUUAUUCUACAUUCAUUUUAAAUUAAUUUUAAUCUCAAUUGACUUAAAUUAAGCUAUAAAAUAAUUCUAAUUUAAAUUAAAAUUUAAUUUUACUUUCCCAAGAGAGAAACUCAAAACUCUUGCUAAAGAGAGAUAAAGGGAAAAGCAUAUCAUGAGAUAUGAAUGUAUGGAUUGAACAAACUCCAAGGUAAAGCAAAGAUAGAGAAUUGUCUUCACUUUGAUCGGGGUAUUGUUGCAUGCAACAUGCAUGCCAAGGAUUCUUAUUGAUUUUGGCUCAAAAAAUUCCCCAAAAUGUUACUUUUCUUUUCUCUUAAACCUCCUCAAGAGAUUUUUUUUUUCCCCUUGAAUUUGCAUGUUAACCAAUGGAGAUAUCCAAAAGUUAGACCUACCCAUGAGGAAAAAAAAAAUUAAUACUAUUAAUUUCUUCUUUAAAAAAAAAAUCAUUUUUACUAUUAAUAUUAUAUAAAUCCAUAAUAAUAUGUGUUGAUGCCCAAUUUCGCAUGUUGCGUGUUCUAAUAUGACAUGUUAAUUACCAUAUGACGCUCCAUUUGCAUAAUUCCAUUUGUGUUACCAUGUGUGUUAGGUUGGUAGGUAUGUUUGGCUUAGGUGUUGGCCCCACCUUAGUUGAUGCCUAAACUUAUUCCUAUAUGAUCUAAUUAAUUCGAUAAGACAUUCUUAUUCUGUUAAAAAAAAAGUAAAAAAUUGAAUUUAUUCCCUCUUUAGUGGAUAAAAGGGCAAAGGAUAAAAGGGCAAAGGACCGGAAAGCAUGAAGUGUUCGACCGGUAGAUAUUUUGCGUCAGCCAUUGAUCAACCGGUCAAACAAUUCUUCAGCCGGUCGUGCACACGCUACUGAAUGAGAGAGGGUGGAUUUUGGCACCCUCGAUCGGAGAUAGACCGGUCGAUCAGUUUCGGUCGACCGGUUCCUGGAGGAUUGGACACGCUACUGGAUGAGAGAGGGUGGAUUUUGGCACCCUCGUCCGGCGAUCGACCGAUCGAUCAGUUUCGCUAGACCGGUUCCUGGAGGAUUGGACACGCUACUGGAUGAGAGAGGGUGGAUUUUGGCACCCUCGUCCGGCGAUCGACCGGUCGAUCAGUUUCGCUCGACCGGUUCCUGGAGGAUUGGACACGCUACUGGAUGAGAGAGGGUGGAUUUUGGGACCCUUGUCCGGAGCUCGUCCGGUCGACUAUAUACGGUCGACCGGUUUGCAGGAUACACUUGCAACCUAAAAAAUGCUUUUUUUUUUAUAAAUAUGUAAUAAAAUUUAAAAAUCUUGGGAUCACUCUGAAGCCAUGGUUGUAGAUUGGAAGGUGAUAGUGCUAGUUUUAUUAGCUAGGUUGAGAAUACAUUAGGGUUGCCUCAAUACUCCGGAAUUUGCAAUUAGUUCCACUCGCCUCUGAUGUAUGGCAUAAGUGACAUGGAUAAAUUUUAGAUGAAAGAAGAGCUAUUAAUAAUCAUUUGAAAAUUUUAUGCCCCUCUAGGCAUGGUCCUUUUUCUUUUAUAUUCAAGAUAUUGUGUCUUUCUUUUUCUUCACUUUGACCUUAUUUUCUUUGCUUUUGAUUCCCUUCUUUUGCUGCAAAGGAAAUCUCCUUCAUUUGUAAUUCUUCUAGCUAUCUCAGCGAAUUCCUUCCUUUCAGAAAAAAAUGAUGGCACAAUGAAUGCAGUGAUGAGAAUGAAAAGGAAGUAUUCAUUAUAAAUCAAAAUAAGAGAACAUUACUUUGAAACCCCAAAUUUAGUGAACUAACAGGUUAUUUUGUUAAGAUUACUAUGAAUAGAAGAGAACCUUGUGAAACUAUCAUAAUAUUUUGCAAAGCUUAAAGGAAAAUAAAUAUACCUCCCCAUAACUGGUAUAGCACCAUUGCAAAAGAGAGGUUCUAAUCGUGUCCUGAUCUAGCAUCAGUUUUUCCAACUCCUGCUUCCUACUCUCUUGUGUGUCUGGACUAUAUUCAAAAUCACGAAUCUGAAUCACAUGAAAAAUUGAACAUACAGAUCAUUAGGAAGAGAACUCCAACAAAUUAUAUUGAAUGUGUUAAUUUAUCCUGUUAUAUUCCUGCCUUUUUAAAAUUUUUUUAUAUAUUAAAAAAUUAUUUAUAAUAUUUUUAUUAGAUAAACAUCAUAAAAACACUUGAAAAGUAAUUAUAUUAAAAACAUUUUAAUAAUAAAACAUUAUAUAAUAGUUUUCAAAAAAUGAUUUUUCAAAAACAGUUUUUGAGAAUAAUUUCUAAAAAUCAUUUUUUAAUGUUUGUAAAAUAAAAGUCUAAUUAGAAAUAAAUUAUUUUACAUAUUUGUAAAAUUAAUUUUUAAAUUAGUUUUUAAAAAACAAGUAAAAUAUAUUAUUUAAAAACACUCUCUAUUCUUUCUUAAAAACAAAAAAUAGAAACAAUUUUUUGUUGUCAAAUAGUAUUUUCCUGUUUUUUUUUUAUUUAAAAAAAAUUGUUUUUGAAAACAAUUAUAAAUAGGCUCUAAAUAUUCUAUUAUUAUUAUUAUUAGUAUUAUUUAAUCUACUUUUGCCUUUUUCAGCUUUUUUAGAAUUAUAUAUGCAUUUAAGCUGAAUUUUAUAAUGGGACAGCCACCAAAAAUAUUGGAUGUAAUAUUUAAUUUUGUAGGAAGUCAAAAGUAUAUGAUAUUGAAUAAAAAUUUUCAAAUCCAUCUAAACUUAGAUUAAAAAAAAUUAAAAAAAAUUCACCCUUCUAAAUUAGGAAAACUUCAUUUGAAAGUAUCUUUUAUUAAUAACAAUAGUUCCUGACAGCACAAUGCCUCCAGCAAUUCAUUCACAACCGCUUGAUUUGAUUCCGAAUUGUAAUUUUUUUUUUUAGAUGAGAAAUAAGACACUAGAAAAUAUGUCAAAAAUGAUGUAAAUUUAACCAUCAAUCAAUAAUAAAACCAUAAAUAAUAAUUUUUCUCCUUGAUUUUUUUUUUAAAAAUUUAUUUCUAAGCAUUUCUAAUCCCCCAUUCCAAAAGAAAUCAAUGAUAUUUGUAGGAAACUAAUCCUAAAAAUGUAAAUAAAGUUCUUAAUUAUAUGACAUUUUGAUUUUUUAAAUAAAACUAAGAAUUAUUUAAAUAUAAAAAAAAAAUUUCAAACACAAAGGAAUUAAAUAGGUUUCCUAAAUGUAUAUUUUUUUUUUCCAAUGAACGAAAAAAAAAAAAUGAAUGCAUUAUACCUAUUAAAAAGUGCAAAACACCGUGGAACAUGUUACUGAGUCAACCGGUUCAUAUCCGGUCGGCCGGGGUGACGUUUAAAAAACCAUUCCGCGCUUAAUUUCUUCAGUGUUAUCCUCUGCCAGUCGAAGGGAUCCACCGAUUGAGCUGCCACACACCCACUUUCGACGCGAUUCCAGCUGUUACAAGCCUUCGGAGUGAGUUUUGAGGGGUGCGGCUUCACAUUUCGGACCUAGGGCGUGAGGUUUGGCAGUGGUCCUCCUUCAUCGCGCGUCACAGGCGGUUUGUCUUCUCUUCCCGCGCGCGUCACAGGCUCUUUCAUUGGCGUUGUUUUGACAUAGGUGUGGCCCUUUGUAGUGUUUCAUGGCGCCUAGGAGAGAUAGGGGUGCGUCGAAGGCACUGGGCAAGCGCCCUGCUCAGGCUUCUCAGGACGGUUAGGCGGAGGCUCGCCGAAAGGCGAGGUUCGACACCGGCCUUUUCACUUCGGUCGACAAAUACCAGAGGUACAAGCAGCAUUUCGUCCAGAGGAAGGUGGUUGCAGGGAGAAAUAUAAAUUUCGCCCAUCUACAACAUUUCGGGUUUGAGAGCCUCUUUGCACGCAUGGGGUGGCUGCCCUUAGUGACUAUUUCAGAGCCCAUUUUUCCGACAUUAGUCAGGGCAUUCUAUUCACGCGUCACAUAUGGACAUGGAGGUCUGAUCACUUCGACCGUUAGAGGGGUUCAGAUCCAUCUGGACCCGGAGAGCAUCUGCCGUAUUUUGGACAUUCCUCCUGGUGGACUCCGCGUAUAUGAUGCCAAGGCCUGGCCGACGGUGUCGGGUUUCGAUUCGAGAGAGGCGAUUCAGAGGAUGUGUGGCCUUCCAGAUGCCCCGGGGUUGGGCAAACCAUCGGCACAUAGCCUGACAGUGACCUGCCGAGUCCUUCACCACAUGAUAGCGUACAUCCUCCUACCACGUGGCGGUCAUCGAGAUGAGGUUUCCUAUCUGGAGGCAUUCCUGAUUGAUUCGAUUAUGACAGGGAGACGUAUUGACGUUGGGUAUGUCAUGAUGAUGCACAUGAUGGCAUGCUGCGAGAGGCCCAAACGCAUUCUCCCAUAUGGCCGCUUCAUGACACGAGUGUUCAAGGAUGCGGGGGUGGAUUUGAGCAGGGAGCAGGAGGUCGAGGCGCCCAGCAGUUAUGACACAUAUGAUGAGCAGUCGAUGGCGCGGAUGAAGUUGGAGAAGACCCCAGAUGGGUCAUGGAUUAGGAGGGCGGACCGACCAGUACCCCAGCCACAGGCAGAGGGAGAUGUGCAUCCUGCAGGAGACGAAGAGGAGGAGAUUGGGGACAUGGAGGGUGGGGUACACCCUGAGACCAAUUUUGACCAUAGAGAGCCUGAGUUUGAUAUCCCUCCACGCCAGUCUGAGGGUGGCCACAUUGACCCGACUAUUUCAGAUGUGAUGAUGACUGAGACGGGUUACACAGCGGGACCAUCUGGUCAACCAUCAUUUACUGAGCCUCAUCACACCCAUACAUCACCUGGCCAGGCUCCUGACGCCCCUGAGCAUGCGCCUUGGAUGGAGUUGUCUGCGCAGAUUACCUCACUUGGGACUCGUAUUGAGGAGCGCAUGGAUCAGCAGCAGGCUAUGCAUGAGCAUAUCCUACAGAGGCUUGAUCGCCAAGAGCGUCAGCAUGAGGAGUUGAUGGCGUACCUCCGCGCCGUGUUGCCACCGCCACCCGAUGCACCUUGAUUGCAUUGAGACCACGUCGUUAUUUUGUUUAGCUUGCAAAACUGGGACAUAUAUAUUUUGUAUUAGCAUACGUAUAUUUAGAGUAGUGUCAGCAUGCAAAUGUUUUUUAUUUCGUUUUAAUUUGGAUUCAAUAUAUAUAUAUAUAUAUAUAUUAUGCUAUUUACUUUAUUAUAUGUUGUUUAGUAAUAUUUACAAGAUCGCCAAGUCAUCUCAUCCAUAUUAGGAGGUACUGAACUUUAACCUUCGGCGAAUUACCUAAGUCCAUGAGUAAGCAAUGAACAACUCAUCAACUUGGAAGGAGUUAGACCUUUUAUGCAAUUUAUCACGCACCCAAAUGUAUAAUGUAAGUGAAGUAGACUUGAAUGUUCAAAAUAAUUAAGACACAUAAAUAUAAUAGUAAAGGGUUACCAAAAUCAUAAAUAUAAAUGAAAUAAUAUAUUGUUUCAUAAUGUCAUGUUUUUCAAGGCUCCAUUGUAAUGAUGUAUUAGAUAAGUUUGAACUAAUCCCACAUUACCAAUAUUAGUCAUGUCAUUGCAUUGUUUAACAAGUUGAUUUUAUUAGAACAUCCAAUAUAAGAAAAAAUAUUUCAUUCUCUCAUGAAAUGUGAGUUCUCAAAAUAGUUUUACAACUGAUAAAAUUUUUGAAUUAAUUAAUUUGAAAAAAAUUAACAUAUUUUCAUAUUUUGUGUCUCUUUUAAUAGCGAGAUGGCAUAAAAUUUUGGAAUUAAUCAGGUCGACCGGUUUCCAGCGACCGGUCUACAUUAGGUAACCGCAGUUGAUAUGAAGGAAACUUUGCAACAACCGGUCGACCGGCUAUCAUAGUCCGGUCGACCGGUUACCUGUAUUACUCUUUAAUUAGUAAGUAAAAAUUCUUCCUUUGGUACUCGUACAACUCAACUAAGCUUUUCCUAGAUACUUGCAGUUGGCUCUGUAUUCUUUUUUGACUUCACGAAACACGGUCAUAAAGGUUUGUGGGCCUUGGUACUGGUUGUUUGAAGGAUUAAUUAAACACGUCGUUGAUUUUUAUCCUUGUAAAAAUGGAAAAAAAAAAAAAAAAAGGACUAAGAGGCUCCUAACCAAACCGAUAGAACAUCUUAGCAUGAAUAAAUAAAUAAAUCAGUUGAUCCAUUUGGUCAUUGCUCUAUGGAAGGCUAUCGGCAUGUGGAUCUACACGUAUACAUUUUAGCCUUUUCAUACCAAUCCUUGUAUUAUUGUCUCUUGAUAAGAUGGAGGAAAAGGGAAAAAAUUUCAAAAUUGAUUUUCUCUUCCUUUUCUCAAGAUCCAAACAUGUUCUAGGAAUCUUACAUCUCAGGAAUUAAAAGUUACCCCACCCACUCAGCACUGAAUCCACACAUUCAUGAAACACCUCUAAAUGACUUGACAAGUUGCAAUUGAUCGAUGACUGAUUACUUCUUAAAUGUAUGUUUUUGGUUUUACUUGGAAUCUAAUCUAUAUGCCUGUUACUUUCGAAGGUAAAUACAUGAAUGGAACCACUCUUGCAGUUGAUGGAGGACUUUGGCUGAGCCGACCUCGCCAUUUACCAAAAGAGGCAGUGAAGCAGCUCUCUAGAGCAGUGGAAAAGAGGUCCAGAGGUGUUCCUGUUGGGGUUCCAAAGAGCAAGCUAUUGCAUGUUCAAUCAAGGUAUGAUAUCUCUGGAUCCAAUGAUGAACCUACAACCGAUAUCAUUCAACUGUUCAGACUUCUACACAUUAAGCUCGGUUAAUAACCAAGCUUAAUGAAGGUAUUUUUCUGGGUCUGAGACUCUUCUACCCGGUCCUACAAUUAAUAAUGUACAAUGAUGUCAAAAGGGGUUUGAUCACCAUACGGAUAACUGAAUUCGGUAAUGUAUUCAUGCAUUUUAAGAUCUUUAAUAGACUUGCUAUUGUCCUAGCCUAAACAUCUUAUUACUUGAUGUAUUAUGUUCUAUAUAGCCUAAACAUCAUAUUACUUGAUGUAUUAUAUUUGUUUUAAAAGUUUAAAUCUAAUUAAAAUUAGUGAAAAUAUAUUCAUUUUUUAAUUAUUUACCUUAUGUUUGGUUAUUUGAAAAUUGAAGGGAAAAAAAAAAUCCAACAUGAAAGGAAAUAACCAUAUUUUCAAAAAACAGUCUUCAAUUAAAAAAUUGACAAAGUUGUUUUUGAAGUUGAAAAACUAUUUUCUAUUUUUUAGAAUUUUGUUUUUCAAAACAGUUUUCAAAUUGACUUUAAAACCCUAUUUGUUAAUUGUUUUCAAAACCAAUUUUUUAUUUUCUAGGAAAAAAAAUUGACAAUGAAUAAAUAAUUUUCUACUCUUAGAUUUUUAAAGAUAGAAAAUUUAUAAAUAAUAUAUUUUAAUUGUUUUUACUUGUUUUUUAAAUAUUAUUAUAUAAAUAUAAAAAAUAUUAAAAAUAAAACAUUACAUAUAAAUUUUAUUUUUAAAAUAUAUUUAAAAUUUAAAAAAAACAAAAAAAAAACAGUUAAAAACAUUUCAAGUUAUCAAACAAAAUGUUUUACAAAACAUUAAAAAACAUUUUCAGAAACUCCUGGUGUUUCCUAUUUGGACUUCUGUAUUGAUCACUUCAACAGGGAUGGGUUCCAUAGAACUCGAGAUUUCACAAUUUUUAUAUGUUCUGCAGAUUAAUACAUUAAUGGGAAAAAUUAUUUUCAUUACAGAUUUCUCUGUACACAAAGACAGAUCGACCCUUCUUAUAACUUCAAUUUCAUUGUACAGAAACAUCAAAACAGUAAUAAAUAUGCCAACAAAACUGUUGUAAAGCACAUUCCUAAGCCUUAUCUCAAGAUACAAUCCUGCUGCAUUUCACCCUUAUACUCAAGAGUCAGCUGACAAUAUUCAAUAGCUUCAACAUCUAAGAACCAGAGCAUUGGUGUCAACAACCGGGUUUCUUUCUUCUCCCAGGAGCCCGAAUCAAUGUCUAGCUUGGACUCAGAUAGAGGGCAGCCAAACUAGGAUCAAAGACAACAUGCUAGGAACUGAGAACCCUGCGUCGUUCGGUUAACACUUUUAACAUCUGUGGAGUGGAGCAGGAUAUAGGUCCAGUGGCUGAUAUCUCACCCGAUCGUUGUGAGGCAAGGGUCCCUCCUGAAGAAAUUGCAAGGAAAUAGAAGUUUAUUACCAUCACUACUAACAAUAGAGCCAAACUCCAUGGAAGAAGGUUUCAGAAACAUAAACAAGCACCAUGCAAAGUGAGAAAACAUACAGGAUCCUGAUUUAAGUAAAAACUUGAUUCCACAUCAGAAAUUGAUGAAAAUAUAACAAGAAUAACAGGCUUGGAGACACUAUAUAAGUCAUCCAAUCAGGCAGGGAUGGUUUCUGUCUAACUUUUAAAGAAAAUGUGGAUUGUCCAAACACUGAUGUUGAGAGGUACUAAAUGGAAAUUGGUGAAGGAUGGGCAUAUACUAUUCAUAACACUGACAAUUCCAAAGUAUGUGCCUGUUCACCUUCAAACCACUCAUUGCAAUUUCUUCUGUCUCUUCAAUGUACUGCAUCAAUACCAAAUGUCACUACUGGCAUAUUACAAUGGAAAAAGCAAUGCCAAAGGGACUGUAAUGUAAGCCUCCUUAUGUAUCAUUUUACAUUUUCCUUUUUGUUACAACUUACAAUUGGUUGCAACUGGAAUAAUUUUUAUGGUUUGAUUUAGAUGAUCAUUCAGACUAAAAUAAUGGAUGUCAUUCUGUUCAUUUGUUCAAUGAAAACCUGGCAAAAUGACCCAAUUUGCUGGGCUAUUAGGCGAUACCAAAGACAAAGCAUUUAUCCUUCCUUUUCCAUGCUGACACAUGUUAUAGAUAUAGGGAUUAGGCAUAUGUCCAUAAUCAUGCAUGGUUGCAAGUUUCUUUAGGUCACAGCAUCGAACAAGUCAGCAGGCAUUGAGACCCAUGAUUGUCUCUGUCAUAUUGAACACACCCAUAUAUGAAUGGAAGAAAGUAUACAUACCCUUGUUAAUUCUCGACUGAACAGCUCAGAUACUUCAAGUGUCAUGUUGGCAAGAAUCACAAAAGGGUCAUCCCACUAAGAUGAAGAAUGUUAUGUAAUGAGUUAACAACAAAGAUAUAUGUAGAAAAUAAUCUACUAAGCAUUAAGAAAAACCAUGUAAUGGGUUAGUUGCUCUGGGUCACUUUAAUACCUGCUCUUGAAGUAAUAAUGAUACUACAGAUCCUUAACAGGGCUUUGAAAAUCAUAACAAUGUGUCCAAAUAAAGUGCAAAUCAUAAAGGUAAAACAAGUCUCAUGGAAUGAGCAUUACUAGAUUUGAAUUCCAUGUCCAAAGAAUUUUCCUAAGCCUUGCUUCCAACUCAUCUCAAGGGCGAGGUUUAGGAGCCUUAAGUCUACUGAUAGACAGCCAAGUUCAAAAUGCAACUGUCUUCACUUCUAUUAUAAAUUUCCUCCUUUUAUUUGUAGACAUCAAUUAAAUUGCAACUGUCUUCACUUCUAUUUCCAGGGAAGCUAAUAGGAUGAAUAAACAUGGUAGACAUCAAUUAAAUUGCAUGCAAUGCGUGUGUUAUCAAGCAACAUGUGUGAGGAUUGUUCCCCAUGUUUGGAAAAAGUAAGAUAGACACCCUUGUACACCCUUGUACUUUUAGUACAUUGGCCUUGUACACUUAGUGUAAAUGCCUUGUCCAGUCACCAAAUCCAUAAUAGGUACAUAUUUCCAAGUGAAUAUGGGUGGGUAACCAAUGUUUCCAUUACCAUGGAAUAGGGAAAAUGACACAAAAGGUUACCCUAAUUUCGGUACAUAUUCAUCAUUACUAGGGAAGCUAANNNNNNNNNNNNNNNNNNNNNNNNNNNNNNNNNNNNNNNNNNNNNNNNNNNNNNNNNNNNNNNNNNNNNNNNNNNNNNNNNNNNNNNNNNNNNNNNNNNNNNNNNNNNNNNNNNNNNNNNNNNNNNNNNNNNNNNNNNNNNNNNNNNNNNNNNNNNNNNNNNNNNNNNNNNNNNNNNNNNNNNNNNNNNNNNNNNUAGGGAAAAUGACACAAAAGGUUACCCUAAUUUCGGUACAUAUCAUCAUUACUAGGGAAGCUAAUAGGAUGAAUGAACAUGGUAGACAUCAAUUAAAUUGCAUGCAAUGCGUGUGUUAUCAAGCAACAUGUGUGAGGAUUGUUCCCACGUUUGGAAAAAGUAAGAUAGACACCCUUGUACUUUUAGUACAUUGGCCUUGUACACUUAGUGUAAAUGCCUUGUCCAGUCACCAAAUCCCUAAUAGGUACAUAUUUCCAAGUGAAUAUGGGUGGGUAACCAAUGUGUCUAUUACCAUGGACUAGGGAAAAUGACACAAAAGGUUACCCUAAUUUCGGUACAUAUUCAUCAUUACUAGGGAAGCUAAUAGGAUGAAUGAACAUGGUAGACAUCAAUUAAAUUGCAUGCAAUGCGUGUGUUAUCAAGCAACAUGUGUGAGGAUUGUUCCCCACGUUUGGAAAAAGUAAGAUAGACACCCUUGUACUUUUAGUACAUUGGCCUUGUACACUUAGUGUAAAUGCCUUGUCCAGUCACCAAAUCCCUAAUAGGUACAUAUUUCCAAGUGAAUAUGGGUGGGUAACCAAUGUUUCCAUUACCAUGGACUAGGGAAAAUGACACAAAAGGUUACCCUAAUUUCGGUACAUAUUCAUCAUUACUAGGGAAACUAAUAGGAUGAAUGAACAUGGUAGACAUCAAUUAAAUUGCAUGCAAUACGUGUGUUAUCAAGCAACAUGUGUGAGGAUUGUUCCCCACGUUUAGAAAAAGUAAGAUAGACACCCUUGUACACCCUUGUACUUUUAGUACAUUGGCCUUGUACACUUAGUGUAAAUGCCUUGUCCAGUCACCAAAUCCCUAAUAGGUACAUAUUUCCAAGUGAAUAUGGGUGGGUAACCAAUGUUUCCAUUACCAUGGACUAGGGAAAAUGACACAAAAGGUUACCCUAAUUUCGGUACAUAUUCAUCAUUACUAGGGAAGCUAAUAGGAUGAAUGAACAUGGUAGACAUCAAUUAAAUUGCAUGCAAUGCGUGUGUUAUCAAGCAACAUGUGUGAGGAUUGUUCCCCACGUUUGGAAAAAGUAAGAUAGACACCCUUGUACUUUUAGUACAUUGGCCUUGUACACUUAGUGUAAAUGCCUUGUCCAGUCACCAAAUCCCUAAUAGGUACAUAUUUCCAAGUGAAUAUGGGUGGGUAACCAAUGUGUCUAUUACCAUGGACUAGGGAAAAUGACACAAAAGGUUACCCUAAUUUCGGUACAUAUUCAUCAUUACUAGGGAAGCUAAUAGGAUGAAUGAACAUGGUAGACAUCAAUUAAAUUGCAUGCAAUGCGUGUGUUAUCAAGCAACAUGUGUGAGGAUUGUUCCCCACGUUUGGAAAAAGUAAGAUAGACACCCUUGUACUUUUAGUACAUUGGCCUUGUACACUUAGUGUAAAUGCUUGUCAGUCACCAAAUCCUAUAGUANNNNNNNNNNNNNNNNNNNNNNNNNNNNNNNNNNNNNNNNNNNNNNNNNNNNNNNNNNNNNNNNNNNNNNNNNNNNNNNNNNNNNNNNNNNNNNNNNNNNCUUCUUUUUCCAAAAAGUAAGAUAGACACCCUUGUACACCCUUGUACUUUUAGUACAUUGGCCUUGUACACUUAGUGUAAAUGCCUUGUCCAGUCACCAAAUCCCUAAUAGGUACAUAUUUUCAAGUGAAUAUGGGUGGGUAACCAAUGUUUCCAUUACCAUGGACUAGGGAAAAUGACACAAAAGGUUACCCUAAUUUCGGUUCAUAUUCAUCAUUACUAGGGAAGCUAAUAGGAUGAAUGAACAUGGUAGACAUCAAUUAAAUUGUAUGCAAUGCGUGUGUUAUCAAGCAACAUGUGUGAGGAUUGUUCCCCACGUUUGGAAAAAGUAAGAUACACACCCUUGUACACCCUUGUACUUUUAGUACAUUGGCCUUGUACACUUAGUUUAAAUGCCUUGUACACUUGCAGAAAUUCCACAUAGAUACAACAGAACUAGUGCAUAUGGCCAGGUUAACCACGUUUCAAUGUCAUGACUCACUAAAAAGGGGAAAAAUGACACCAAAUCGAGGUUCCUAUUCAUCAUAAGCGCGCUAUCUCAUCCAAUGAAUGUGUACGAAGGGAAAUGAGGAAUGUCCCCCUUGGAAAAAAAUAAGUGAGCAAGCAAUUUUUUCAAAAGCAUUUGAAAUCCUUCAAGAUAGACACCCUUGUACACACUUGUACAGUUAACACAUUUGCUUUGUACACUUAGUGUAAAUGCCUUGUCCAGUCACCAAAUCCCUAAUAGGUACAUAUUUUCAAGUGAAUAUGGGUGGGUAACCAAUGUUUCCAUUACCAUGGACUAGGGAAAAUGACACAAAAGGUUACCCUAAUUUCGGUUCAUAUUCAUCAUUACUAGGGAAGCUAAUAGGAUGAAUGAACAUGGUAGACAUCAAUUAAAUUGCAUGCAAUGCGUGUGUUAUCAAGCAACAUGUGUGAGGAUUGUUCCCCACGUUUGGAAAAAGUAAGAUACACACUCUUGUACACCCUUGUACUUUUAGUACAUUGGCCUUGUACACUUAGUUUAAAUGCCUUGUACACUUGCAGAAAUUCCACAUAGAUACAACAGAACUAGUGCAUAUGGCCAGGUUAACCACGUUUCAAUGUCAUGGCUCACUGAAAAGGGGAAAAAUGACACCAAAUCGAGGUUCUUAUUCAUUAUAAGCGCGCUAUCUCAUCCAAUGAAUGUUUAGAAAUGUAAAUGAGGAAUGUCUAUGAGGAAUGUCUAUGAGGAAUGUCACCCUUAGAAAAAUAAAAUGAGCAAGCAAUUUAUUCAAAACCAUUUGAAAUCCUUCAACAUAUGUAGCAUUGUACACACUUGUACAGUUACCACAUUUGCAUUGUACACUUAGUGUAAAUGUCUUAUACAAUGCCAAAAAUUUGACAUACCUAAAACUAAUAGCGUGCAUAUGGGUGAGCUACCAUGUUCCAAUGUGAUGCCUAAGGGAAAAUGGGGAAGGGAAAAGGGGGAAGUGAAACCCAAUAUAGGUUCUUAUUCAUCAUUAUUGUCGUUGGUCAUCCAAUCAACAUGUAUGAAGUAAUAAAAUUGAAGGGGAUCAGUGCGUGAUCAAGGAAUGUGUGUGAGGGAAUGUUCCUCAUCCUUUCAAAAUGGAAAUGAUUUUAAAACAUUGCAAAUACUUCAACAUAGGUACAUUUGUACACCCUUGUACAUUAAGCACAGGUACCUUGUACACUUAGUGUAAAUGUCUUGUACACAGACAUAAAUUCCAUACAACCACUACUGAAUGUAUACUCAUGCAUAGGUUAAUCAUGAUUGCAAUCUUUUGGUUAAUAAAAUAAGGAAAAACUGAAGUCUCAAUUUGUUCCCUAUACUUUUGUAACAAUACAAGGAAAUUAAAUAAUAGCAAUUUGUCCAUUAAUGUGAAGUUAUUCGAAGUUAAUUCCAACUUUCUAGCUAGAAUUCAAAAGAAGAUUAUAUGUUAAGCAUGGCAAAUUAUUAUUCAAACAUAUAUUUUAUUCAGUAAAAAGCAUGCCUAAAGAUGGGUUCCAUUCAACUAGUGAACAGCUUUUUAAACAUCACAUGUGGCACCAGGCCUAACAAUUGUCUACAAUUUACGAGGAAACUCUGAAGAAGACCAAAAUGCUUCUAACUGUGGCUCACUUUUAGAGUACUCACCAUUUUCUCAUCCAACCAAUUCUUCAGAGCCAAACAGGGAGACAUUAUUUUCUUCUGUCCGCAAUUCUCCUUCUUAUCCAUUCUCUCCUAAUCCAGAAUUUUCAUUUCUAAACCUGCUUCAAUUUAAUGCCAAUGAUUAGCAAUUUCAAGCUUCCUGUUUAUUCCCAUAAACACUAAAUAUUUCCAAUUAAAAUUACAUGAGAUAAAUGUGGAUGACAUUUACACCAAACUAAUUGGGCACAAAUUAAUUUUUUAAUUCAUUUUUUGCAAGAAUAUACAUUGCUCAAUGAAAUAAGAAUUGUUUCAGAUACUAAUAAAAAAAAGGAGAAAGGAAAAGUUGGGUCGAGUGGCCUAAGACAAGAAAAAUAUUCAAAAAGAAAAUUUAGGANNNNNNNNNNNNNNNNNNNNNNNNNNNNNNNNNNNNNNNNNNNNNNNNNNNNNNNNNNNNNNNNNNNNNNNNNNNNNNNNNNNNNNNNNNNNNNNNNNNNUUUUUUUCCCAAAAACAAAAAAAUUUCCCAAUUAAAAUUCCCGGAAAAAAAGGGGGGACAACUUCCCCCCAAAAAAAUGGGGCAAAAAUUAUUUUUUUAUUUUUUUUUUUCAAAAAAAUACCCUUUUCCAAAAAAAAAAAAAUUUUUUCCGUUUUUUAAAAAAAAAAAAAGAAAAAGAAAAAUUUGGGGAAGGGGGGUUAAACCAAAAAAAAUUUUAAAAAAAAAAAUUUGGGAAUUCAACCAAAAAUUUUAAAAAAAAAAACAACCCCUUUUUUUUUUUUUUUUAAAGGAAAAUUAAAAAAUUCCCAAAUGGGGGGGGUUCUUUUUGGCUUCCCAAUUUGGGGGGGUUUUUUUCCCCCCCCCUUUUUUCUUUUUUAAACCAAAAAAAUUGGCCCAAAAUUUUAUUUCCUUUUUAAAGGAUUUUUUUGGGAAAACCCGGGGGGGGGUUUAUUUUACCCCCCCCCCCCCCCCCCCCCCCGCUAACAUUCUCAAUCCCAGUAAAUUUCCAACCUUCACUGCUGAAAGAAAGGACCUCUCACCUACCUAAUCUAUACCCAGAAACCAAUAGAAAAUGACAGGGAUUAAUUGUUACCAAUAUAAAAUUCUGGGUUUAGUGUGAAAGGGGGAGAAAGAGGACAAUUUUUCAAGUUGGAUCAGCAAACCAAUGUUCUGAGUACAUUCAACACAUAGAGCAUAUGCCAAACACAGCAACAAUUAUUAUUUUUUUUUUUGUUUUUUGGCAAUCCAAUAGAAAUACGGAACUUAAAUUCUAGAAGUGAAAAAAUGGAAGAAUGCAAAACAAUCUCAGAAUAGGGAAUGGAUAUUAAGCUGCUUCCUUGAGCUUCUUUGUGAUGCCAGCAAUGUACUUCCCCUGGUGGAAACCUUGCUCCAAUUCAAGCUCAGAUGGUUGUCUUGAGCCGUCCCCAGCGUAAGUUCCUGCACCGUAGGGACUCCCACCUUUCACCUUCUCCAUCUCAAACGCUCCCAUUUAUUCUCUCUGGACGAUGAUGAUAAAAUACCUACAAACGCCUCAACCUGAUAAAAUCAAAAUAUCAGCAAAUAAUUCAGACCCCCAUCAUUUGGAUUUGGGAAUGAUCGUUGAUAAAAUACCUACAAAAGCUUUUCUGAAAUCCUCACAAUCCUUGGCUGCUGAAGAAAGCGAUUGGGGGACAGUUAAGGUCGGCAUCGUUUGUGCGUAUGUUGUUUACAGAGGGAGAGAAAAUGGUAGGAAGAUUCAGAAUUUCACUCUGGUGACAUGACAUUUCACAUUUACCAGCUGUGAAACCCAUUAUUUUACAACAAUUUGAGUUGGAAAUGUAAAUGGCAUUUUCAUCUGUUAACAUUUCAUAUCCUUAUCAUUAAUUAGGUCAGUUAGAUGGACCAUUUCUUAAUUUUUGUUGGGCCCAAAACACAAUUUUCCCAAUAAGUUUUCUAAUUUGCGGUGAAGGCACGGCAAGGGCAGGUGUUUAUCUAUGAUUUGAAAAGAAGAUUCGAGAAAGUAGCUUGGGGAACACGCAAAGAAGAUAAGUCUACGCACGUCAAGAUAGACUUUCCCCAAGGCCAAGCCUACCUCUACAACUAUAAAUAUUAAAUAUUUCCUAACCCCUCUCAUCUCAUCAUUCCAAUAGUUUCUGCUAUCUCUGAAAAGCGCUCUUCGUUUCCGUGCUUGUUCAUCAACCAUUCCCUUUCAAGGUUUGUUUUCUUUUCCGUUUCUUUUAUUUUGCCUUUUAUUAUUCUUUCGAUUCAAGAUCCAUUCUUGAUUGACUUUUUGUGUUUUGUGUGAAUUUGUGUUUGUUUGGUUGCUUUUUGGUAUGAAUGUUUCUGUAAUUACCUGGAACAAAGAUACAAAGCCAAGAUUUUGAAUUUUAAAUCAAAUCGCUUUACCAAGGAGAGAUGCUUGGAAUCCACGCGAUUUGAAUUCCAAGUUAAGCCUCAAUUUAUUCGAAUGCUUGUUUUGGACGUAUCGAUCUUGGUCUUAUUAUAUGAUGAUUUUGCUCUAACCCUAAAUGAAAAGGGCUUUGUUAAUUUUAGGGUUUUUUUUUUCCAAUAUUAAUAUGAUUAUGCUUCUGUUUACAAAUAUAGAUGUAGAUUUGAGAAGAAAAUAUUUGUUUCAUUUUGGGGGAGAUUGUUUCCAAUGCUAAAGAACCAAAAAAAAAAAAAAAAAAACCCAUUUGCAAGGGGGUUUGGCAAAUAAUCUAUUGCAUGAAAUGUAGAAUUCUAACACUUGGGUUAUUUUUGUUUUUUGGGAAAAUAUACAUCGAGUGAGAUUAGAAUUGCGGCACUUUGGUAUUUUUUUCUCCUUUUUUUCCUUUCUCCCCAUUUUUGGUGGAUAGAUUCUUGCCCCAAAGUUAAUUUGAGUCUUGAUAACAUCUUCUAAUGUUUAUAGAAUGCUUCUUAUUAUCUCCUUUUUUUUCCCUUCCCCUAGAAUCCUGAUCCCAAAUCCACUUUGGACUUGAGUAGAAUGAAAUUGGAGUAGGAGUCUCUUUCUACAUCUGCACCAACUAAGCUACUAUAUCCAAUUUCUCCCCUGUUUUACUUCACUUAAAAAUCUACUUUGGACUGACUUUCAUUGAUGUAUUUUUAUUUUUAUUUUUAACACCAUUACCGAAAUGGUAUUAUUCUUUGCGGUUUGAUUUAGGACUCAAUUCCAAGUGUAAAACCCAUUUUCAGAUUAUUUAGGAAAUAACCCUUGCAACUUUUAUCAUUUUGUUGUUUUAGCUUAUAACUCAUCACAUUUUCUUGUGGCAUGGCUUAUUGUUGAAAUUUCUCCCUUAGGAUGUUGCCUAUCUUCCUAUGUAACAUAACAGAUGCAGAUCUUUGCUUGAGGCUUGAUUAGUGACAACAUCUUCUAAUAUUUAUUGGAUACUUCUUAUUAACUCCUCUUUUUUUAAACCCUGGAACCCUGGUCUCAAAUCCACUUUGGACUUGAGUAGAACAGCAAGUGUAGGAGGAGUCACAUUCUGCACCUGCACCAACUAAGCUUCUAUUUUCUAAUUUCUCCCUUGUUUUACUGCACUUAAAUCUACUUUGGUCUUAUCUUCACAUAUUUCUUUUAACAUUAUUUUUGCGGUUUGAUAUGGGACUGAAUUCCAAAUAUAAAACCCAUUUCUUCAUCCAUAGGAUGUUGUCAUUAACCCAUCUUCCUAUUGUAACAUAACAGAUGCAGAUCUUUGUUAAGACCCUUACUGGGAAGACUAUAACCCUUGAAGUGGAAAGUUCUGAUACCAUUGACAAUGUUAAGGCGAAAAUCCAAGACAAGGAGGGUAUCCCCCCUGACCAGCAAAGGUUGAUUUUUGCUGGAAAGCAGCUUGAGGAUGGCAGGACUUUGGCAGAUUAUAACAUUCAGAAAGAGUCCACACUCCACCUCGUCCUUCGAUUGAGAGGUGGAAUGCAAAUAUUUGUUAAGACACUCACUGGAAAGACCAUCACCCUUGAAGUUGAGAGCUCUGAUACGAUUGACAAUGUAAAGGCGAAAAUCCAAGACAAGGAAGGAAUCCCCCCUGAUCAGCAAAGGUUGAUUUUUGCUGGAAAGCAGCUUGAGGAUGGCAGGACUUUGGCCGAUUAUAACAUUCAGAAAGAGUCCACACUCCACCUGGUCCUCCGUUUGAGAGGUGGAAUGCAAAUCUUUGUUAAGACACUCACUGGAAAAACCAUCACCCUUGAAGUAGAGAGUUCUGACACGAUUGACAAUGUAAAGGCAAAAAUCCAAGACAAGGAGGGAAUCCCCCCAGACCAGCAGAGGCUCAUCUUUGCUGGUAAACAGCUUGAGGAUGGUCGGACCUUGGCAGAUUACAACAUUCAGAAAGAGUCCACCCUUCAUUUGGUUCUCCGGCUGAGAGGUGGAAUGCAAAUAUUUGUAAAGACGCUGACCGGGAAGACCAUCACUCUUGAGGUGGAGAGCUCUGACACAAUCGACAAUGUGAAGGCGAAGAUCCAAGACAAGGAGGGUAUCCCCCCAGAUCAGCAGAGGCUCAUCUUUGCUGGUAAACAGCUUGAGGAUGGAAGGACUCUGGCUGAUUACAACAUACAAAAGGAAUCCACCCUUCACCUGGUUCUUCGCCUUCGUGGAGGUAUGCAGAUAUUUGUGAAGACCCUGACGGGAAAGACGAUCACACUAGAGGUGGAGAGCUCAGACACCAUAGAUAAUGUGAAGGCCAAAAUUCAGGACAAGGAGGGGAUCCCUCCAGAUCAGCAGAGGCUGAUCUUUGCAGGGAAGCAGUUGGAGGAUGGUCGGACACUUGCUGAUUACAACAUUCAGAAGGAGUCCACUCUUCACUUGGUCCUUCGUCUUCGUGGGGGGUCUGGGUUCUGAUAUUUGGUUGUGGUCAUUCCUGUGUGUCUUUUGGGAUAUGUUUGAUGUCUUAUAGUGUGUGGAUGCAGUUCAGUUGCUUCUGGCUGCUGAUUGAAAUAAAGAGUGGAUGACAUAUUAGUACCUAAACCACUUGGUUAACUGCUGGUAUGGAUUAUAAAUCUAUGCUUUCAAAUGAUGUGGACAUCUCUUCUAUAUAUUUGAUGGUUGAUUAGAAACUAAAUAGAGUAUAUUACUAAAAUUCCCUCUACAGUUGAUGUUUUUAUUAGGAAUGUUUUUUUCAAGAGAAUCAUUUGGUGAUUAGAUAUAAACUAAAAAUAUGUCUAAAAAAUGUGUUUCCAUAAUAUUUAUUUCUGGUUAGAUUUUGUGUAACGAAAAAGUGAUUGUUUAAGAAUUCAUGAAAAGAGGGGUGAUCCUAAACUUAGGCCCCCUCCCAAAAGGCAAAGGUAUCACAAACCAUUUUAUUUAUCAAUCAAAGGCCUAAUACAAAAGAUAGUAUCUUAUAAGCCAACAACCUGCCCCUGCUUAGAUUUGGUUAAAAAUGAAACUGUGGGGCAUUUGUGAGGAUUUUAAAAAAGUUAAAGAGUAAUUUUAAAAAGUGUUUAGUAGAAUAUGAAAAUCUUUAAAAUAAUCCCAAAUCUAUGGCAAUUUUGAAAUUGCGAGACAAAUUUAAUCCUUAAAUUGACAACUUUCAAUCGAUAUUUUAAAAAAUGUUAGAGAUUUGGAGAUACUUUUGAAGCUAUCAUAUCUUAAUAAAUAUUAAAAAAAUGAUACUUUAAUAUAAAAAAAUUGCAUUUGUGCCUUAACUCUGUAUUUAAAUAAAUAUUUUUAGAACAUGACCGGAAUUAGAAAAAUUAUUGAUUCACGAUUGAUUGGUUUAUGGUUCACUGGUUGGAUUACAAUCAAAAUGUGAUCAACUUUCGAACAUCAUAAAUAUAUAUUUUAUAUAUUAUUAAAAUUUAAAAAUUUAAUAAAUAAAAAUAAUAAAUUCUAUUUGCACUAAAUAAAAUAUGAAAAUGAUUCAAAUUUUAAUUAUAAUAAAUAAGUCCACAAAAAUCUCAAUAAAUUAAAAUUUUAAUAAUUUCAAUAAAUUAAAAUUUUAAUGUGUAAUAAAUAAUCAAAAAAUGAAAAAAUUAUAAAUAUUAAAUAUUAAACAUAAAAUUAAGACAUUAAAUAUAAAAGAUAAAAAUUAAAUUUAAAAAUGGAAGUUUAAGAUUUGAGAUUUCAUCCGCUUGGGCAAUAGGAAGGCGUGUCGACAAGUGUUGGUCGUUUUUGGUGGGUUGGGGUCGGGGAAAGAUUGGUUUUGGUGGUGGGGGAGGGGAAUGACUGGUUUGCUUUGGACCUUUGGUUGGGGGAGGUUUGUCGGCAGGCGUCGGCGGCUGCUGCUAGAGCUGGGGCCACGCGGGGGUGGGGAGGAAAUUGGUUGAAUCGUCCAGUUGGAUUUUGUUUCAAUUAUUUUUUGGUCCAAUUCACUAAAUUAGACCAAAAUCGUGACUAAUAGCUCUGAUCCGAUUUUUAAAACCAUUAUUAAAUAAGGGAUUUUGAUAAAAAUACAAUAUUUUAAAAUCUAUGAUAUUUUUAAGAAAUCCUAUAAAUUGGAGAGACAAUUUUAAUUGAGUUUGAAAUUAUCUUUUGAAAAAGAUAACUCUAUAUCUAAACUGAAGUUGUCUUUCAAAAGACAAAUUUUAAUUGAUGUUAUAAAGUGUGUCUAUUUAAAAAUAUUUUUAAAAUUGCUAUAUAUAUAUAUAUAUAUAUAUAUAUAUAUAUAUAUAUAUAUAUAUAUAUAUAUAUUUUUUUUUUUUUUUUUUUCAAAAAUACCUUAAAUAAAAAAAUGUCUAACCCUUUUCUUACCCAAUCCCUAGGUAGGCUAAGACAAUUACCAACUUUAAAUUGAGUUAGAGUAGGUCAUGACACAAAUAAACCAUAAUUCUAUAAAUUCCUUUAUUCAAAUUUGCUUGUUUCCAAAGAAACUAAAGGAAAAUUAAGGGAAAAAAAUACACACAAACAAACAAUAAAUAUAUAAAUAAAUAAAACAUAUUAAAUUACAAAAGAAUUCCAUAAAUUUGAAAAUUUAAAAGAGGGAGGGAAAAAAAUACUAAAAAAUCUAUAGCCUAAUGAUUUAAAAGAAAAAAACUAAGAAAUCUAAUGUUGUACAUUUAAUAUAUGUUUACCAAUAGCUAAGUGCACUUCACCAAUGAUAAAGGCUUACCAUAAACUCUUCUUGUCCUUUAUUAAAGCUCACAAAUAGUGAACCAUGAUAAGUCUUUUGGAAGAUAAUACGGUUUCUUCAUAAAAAAUUAUAUAUCAGAAUACACAACAGCAAAUAAAUAAGACUCCUAGCACCACAAGAUCCUAACUAACUUAUGGGAGAUAAAAAAAAUUCUUAACAAUUCAAGUUUGUUACUAAGAUUUUAUUGAACAUAAAAGCAUAAAAAUCUUAACUAUCUUAACUAUCUUUGACACUCUCCUCAAGUUGGUGCGUAGAUAUUGAUCAUGCUCAACUUGCUAAUAAGAAGCUUGAAGUUUGGUUGAAACAAUCCUUUUGUUAAAAUAUCUAUGGUUUGCUUCAUGGUAGGAAGAAAUGACAUGCAAAUAACUCCUACCUCAAGUUUCUUUUUUAUGACGCUUCUAUUGAUCUUGAUGUGCUUGGUUCUAUUGUAUUGCACAUGGUUGUGGGCGAUGUUUAUUGUUGCUUUAUUGUUACAAUACAACUUCAUAGGCAUAUUUACUUGAUUCUUCAAUUCCUUGAGUACUCGUUGCAACCACAACAUUUCCGAACUCCAUUAGCCAUUGCUCUGUACUCCACCCUUACGCUGCUUCGAGUUACAACAUUUUUCUUUUUGCUUCUCCAUGUGAUAAGGUUUGCCCACACAUAAGUGCAAUAACUCAGAUGUAGAUUUUAUGUCUAUCAUGGACUUGGCUCAAUUUGCAUCAGUGUAGGCUUCAAUCUUCUACUUAUCAACUUUUUCGAAAAAUAAGCCUUUUCUUGGAGAGCUCUUCAAGAAUCUCAAAAUUUUAUAAGCAGCUUUAAGAUGUUCUUCAUAUGAAGAAUACAAAAAUUAGCUCACAUGUUGACGACAAAUGCAAUGUCAGGUCGUGUAUGUGACAAAUAGAUCAACUUCCCUACUAAUCUUUGGUAUUGAGCUAUAUCUAUAAGAACCCCUUGUUUUCUAUCUUCGAGUUUGUGAUUAGGAUUCAUAGCGUGUCUAUGGGCCUACAACCACUCAUCCCAAUCUUUUUGAGUAGAUCUAAGAAAUAUUUUCAUUGUGAGACAACAAUCUCUUUCUUGGAUGAGCAACUUCCAUUCCAAGAAAACAUCUUAAGGAUCUCAAGUCAUUGAUCUUAAAUUUUGUAGCUAGACAAUUCUUAGCUGGUUCAUCUCAUUUUGAUUAUCACCCAUGAGCAUGAUAUCAUCCACAUACACUAUCAAGACUGCCACUUUUUGUCUCUGGAGUGUUUGAUGAACAUAGUGUGAUCAGUUUAAGCUUGAUUAUACCAUUGAUUUUUUACCAACUAAGUAAACUUCUCGAAAUAGGCUCUUGGUGAUUAUUUAAGACCAUACAUAGAUUUUUUCAAUCUAUACACCUUUGAACCAAACCCUUUUUCAAACUGCGAGGGAGGAUCCAUAUAGACCUUUUCCUCUAGAUCUUUGUUCAAGAAAGUUCUUGACAUCUAAUUUUUGUAGAGGUCAAUCAAGGUUUGCUUCAAGUGAAAAGAGUACUCUUACAGUAUUUAGCUUUGCCAUUGGUGCAAACGUCUUCAUGUAGUUGAUGUCAUAUGUUUGUGUGAAUCCUUUGGCCAUCAAUCUCACUGUACCUUUUUAAAGUCCCGCCUGAUCUAUAUUUUAUGGUGAAUACCCAUUUGCAUCUAACCGUUGUUUUUCCUUUUGGUAGAUAUUCAAUUUCUCAUGUCUUAUUCUUCUCAAGCACCCUCAUCUCCUCAAGUACCACAUCUUUCCAUACUGGAACUUGUAAAGCAUCUUUUACAUUCUUUGGAAUCUCUACACAUGAAAGUUGAGAAGUGAAAGCAAAAAAUGAUGAUGAAAGAUUUUUGUAGGACACGAAUUUAGACAUUGGAUGAUUGGUAUAUAUAAGACCUACUUCCUUUUUAGAUAGCUAUGGGGACAUAUCUAAAUCGUUAAAGGACUCACUUUGAAAAUUAGUACUAUGCUAUGAGAUUUUAUCAAAAUCUGUUUGAGAGUUAAUUAGAGAAUCUCAAACUUGACUCCGGUUUAACUCCUGGCUAGGUAGAGAAGCUUUUCUCACAUGAUUAAGAUUAGAUUCUGUUUCCAAGUUCAAAUCUUGGUUAGGAUUUGUUUUUUUUAAAAAAAACUAAUCAUAUUUUUCUGAAUUUUUAGAAAAUUAGGUUGGAUUUGAUUUUUCAAAAGGCUGAUCAGAUUUUUUCAAAUUGAAUUCUCGGCUAGAGGUUUUAAGAAUUUUAAAAUUUUCAUGAUUCUUUAUAUGAAAAUUUUGGCUAGUAGUUGGAGAAAUAUCAUUUUUUGGCAAAUCAAUUUGAAAAAAUCGGUUUAUUUUCAAAAAAUGAUACACCCAAGGUAAUAAACAAUUUUUUGGAAAUUGGUUUAUAACAUUUAUAACCUUUCUUAUUUGGUGCAAAUCCCACAAAAUGCACUUCCCAACCCUAGGAUCUAACUUACCACGACCUUUUUCAUGGUUGUGAGUAAACAUAGUGCAACCAAAUAUUUUUAUUGGUAAGGAAGAUAAAAGCUGAGUGUAGGAUAAAGUUUUUGAAAAAAAUGCAAAGGUUUUUGAAACCCAAAAUUUUUUAAGACAUCCUAUAAUAAGAUAAGUAACCGUACGAACUACUUUAUCCUAAAGAUAUUUAGGAAUAUUAUUUGUGAAAGUAAUGCUCAAGCAAUUUCUAAAAAAUGAUUAUUUUUUCUAUUGGUUACUCCGUUUUGUUAAGGGGUAUCGUUACAAGAACUUGAAUGAAUAAUACCCUUUUUUGAGAAAAAAAUGCCCCAAACUUAUUAAAAUAUUCCUUGCUGUUAUCACUUUUGAAAACCUUGACAUUUUUUUUUUCAUAAAAUUGUGUUUGUACCAUGGUGUAAAGAUUUUUUAAAACACUUUCUAGUUCAAAUUUUUCUUUAACCAAAUAAACUUAACUAACCCUGGUGUGAUCAUCAAUGAACAUGACAAACCAUUUUUCUUUUCCAGAGAAAAGAUUGAGCCCCCACAUGUCAUUAUGAGUUAAUGAAAAUGGUGUAGAUUGUCAAUAAGGUCGUGGUAGAUAAGAGGCACAAUGUUGUUUCCCUAAUGCACAUACAUUGAAAUGAAGAUGAAAUUUUAUUCUUAAAUAAAUGUGGAGAUAAGUACUUCAAAUAUUAAAAACUUGGGUGACCUAAUCUGUUAUGCCACAACAUUAUUUCACUAUCACUAGAAAUGGAAAUAGACUCAAAACAAGUGCUUUGCAGUUGUUCACUUGAUUUCAUUCCAUCUUUUAAAAAAUAAAGUCCUUUACUUUUCCUAACACUACCAGUUGUCUUUCUUAAGGCUAGUUCUUGAAAUUCAUAAUGAGAUAGAUAGAAGUUAGCAUGAAAAUUGCGAUCAUGAGUUAUUUUGCUUAUGGACAAUAAAUUAUAGAAGAAAUUAGGAACAUGAAGCACAUUAUCACCAUUUUAACCAUUGAAAGAUUGAUCUAAGAGCUGGAGCUCUAAUAUCAUAAAGGCUUUUGAAAGAUAAUAUGAUUUCUUCGUAAAAAAUAAUAAUUAGAAUACACAACAAGAAGUAAAAUAAGAUUCCUAGCACCACAAGAUCCUAACUAAGUUAUGGGGGAUAAAUAUAUCCAUAUAUAUAUAUAUACUAACAAAUCCAAGUUUGUCAAUUGGAUUUGAUUGAAUAGAAAAGCAUAAAAAUCUGAAUUUUCUUAACUAUCUUUGACACAUGACUUGCUAAUAAUGAAAACAUGAAAGAGAUAAAAUUUUAUGCUAUCAUACACUUAACAUGACUUGAAAUUUAAACCAAACACUAACAUAUACACUUACACAACCCUAGGGAAACUCCUCAACACCCUCUAAGGUCUAGGAAUAAUCAAUCAAAUGUAAGUUGAUUUUAUGCGAAUUGAAAGGAAAAUGAUCAUCUUGUACAAACCUUAUCCUCAUUUUUCUUCAAAGUAAGCUUUAUUUUUAACUAAGCCUUGCCAAUCCUUAAUAAUCUUACAAUGGCUUCAUUAUGCAUGAUUAUAUAUAUGGACUCAAAUCAAUAUUAUACCUAUAAUAAUAUUUCUAUGAAAAUCAUCAUGAAAUUUCUAACAAAUACACUACAAAUACUUAUGUUUAGCUUCCUUACACUAAGUUGCAAAUAAUCACUUAAUAAUCACAAUAUUAACUUAAGAAAGAUACAAUACAAAACUUCAUAUAUGAUUGCAAUGAGAAUUACAACUUACAUGCUCCCCCUUCUUUGUAUCUCCCCCAUGAACAUUAUACAUUUUUUUUUUCUUAUUUUUGUCAAUUUCUCUUUUCCCCUUGUAUUCCAUUUCCCCUCAUAAUUUAUAUGAAUUAACAAAGGGUGAAUUUGUUAAGAACACAAUAGGGUAUACAAAGAUGAGCAAACACAAUAUCCGAUAUCAACAAUGCUAUUUUAUCAAUAUGAAAUAAUUUUAAACCAAAAAACACAUAAAAAUGCAUAAUACAUGUAGGAUUAUCACACCAUUUAUGCAUAUAUUUAGAAAAAAAUAAAUUACUGGGUUAUGUUUAGAAAGCUAAAUAAGCUAUAGAAAUAUAUAAUAUUUUGGAAAUCGGACGAGAUUGGCUGGUCCAACUUAUUGGACUGUCAACCCUUUGGCUCAUUCAAAUCCAUAUAAGUCAUGCUUUAAUUAAUGUUGACCUAUGAAAUGAGCAUAUUGAGCUACCUAAACUUUUUGUAGCUACAAACCUCAUAUCCUCUAUAUUCCUUUUAAUUAAAAGAUAUAGUUGAAAUGAUGAACAAGAUGUCAUAGAAUAUGAUGAAUGCAAUACGAGCUUCAAAGCACCUUGAAACGCUUAGAGGAUGUUUGAUCAUUCCAAUGGACGUUUGAACAUCCUCCUUGUGAUGUUGAGCAUUCAUGUAUAUUUUUUAUAUGUUAAGCCUCAUUUUCCGAUUUUUUUUUUCCUCUCAAAAUUAACUUCUUUAAUAGCCAUUUACAUGCUCUAAUAUAUCCAAUGUAGAUGUAUCCCAAAUUUAAAUGGCUCUAACCUAUAAGACCCUCAAAAUGUAUGAUAUAUCAAAUUUAGUGUAAUAAUGAAACAAAUUUGUUAACCUAACCUAAUACAUAAACAAGUAUAUUGCUUCUUUAAAAUUUGAUGGUUAUAAAAUUAGCAAAACAAUAAAUGUGAACCAUAACUUUUCACAUUGAAAAUUCUUUAAAUGGAGUCCUCAUUAAAAGCAAACACCAAUGAUUCAUUACUUUUGUUUAUUUUCUUACUAUUAUGACCAUAUUUUUUUCUCAUUUUUAAAAGAUAUUUUAAUAAAUUGAGAUGAAACUUCAUCUAAUUAUAAAGAUUGGUUGUUAUUUAGUAAGAAAUGAACUUCUUAAAAAAGAAUGAGUAAUUCAUUUAAAUGAGGUACUAAUUAGACUCAUUCAAUAUUUCAUUAACUCUUUUCCUUAUUAUCAUUAUAUUUUCUCUUAAAUAGUUAAUUUCACAUUUUAAUCUAAUGAAUCCAAUUAUAAUGAGAAGUAUCAUCAAUCUUAAUAGAUUCCAUUAUCAAUUAAAUUGAUUAAAAUAAAUCCUCUUUUAGUUUUUAGAGAUAGAUGGUAUAAUCAUUUAAAAAUUGAUGAUAUUUUCUUAGGUAUCUUAAUUUUUUUAUCCUCUUGAUAGAAAAUAUCUUUAUUAAAUACUCUAGUUUUUCUUUAGUAAAAAGUUUUACAAAUAUUAGUUUUUAAUCCAAGUAAAAUAUUAAAUAGACCAAAAAUAAAUAGUUUUCAAAUAUUGCAUGUACUAUGUAAUUGCCUUUUCAUAAAUAAGUUCUUACCUAUUGAUAAUGAUAAUUUAGCUAAAAUAAAAUAAAUUAAUUGUUCUCUUGAUCUUGAAUAUCUUUUUCAAAUAUAUUAUUUUUUUAAUAUUAAAGAGUCCUAUAAAUGUUAAUUCUCAAUUUAAUUAAAAAUUUUAAAAAAUAUAGAACUUAAGAGUGAUGGUAACUCAACCUACUUAAAUGGAGAUCCUAUGAAAUAGGUUUAUAUGAAUAAUAACAAAUCACUUGUUGACUAAGAGGUGCUCUAUUACCUAUACUUAUAUGAGGGUUCAUCCCUAUGGUAUAUAUUGAGCGUGUUCUACAAUGAUUGAGGUUGAGUAUUUACUUUUAAUGAAUACCAUAUUCCUUAUGGAUGAUAUAUUUAAUUAUACAACACAGUUAACAUAGUUGAUGAAUUCACUUAUAUGAGAGUGGAGGUGAGACCACUUCCUAUAACAACUUAAGCAAAUUCUUUAGAACUCUUAUGAAUAUCCCAAGUAGGAUUCAUGACCUAUUUGUGCUAACUCAUUAUGUACAACUCAAUUGAGAAUUACAUAAUUCAUAGAAAUUUAUUUUCAUAAACCUAUAACUUAAUACUUAUUUAUCUUAAUCUUAGUUCAUAGCCUAUGGACAUCAACAAUGAUGCAUUGGAUUCUAGUUUCCUUCGAUGGUUUCUAUCUUCACUCAUACACUCUAUGGAGGAUUGUUGGAUAAAAAUGUAUUGAAUGGGUGUUUUUAAAGUGUUAAAAGAAAAAGUUCCAAUUCCACAUUGGAAAAAAGAGAUGUACUUUAUGUGGGUAUAUAUUGAAAUUUACUUCCUUAGCCUUAUGGGCUUAUGGAGAGGUGAGGGGAAGCUUUGCGCGCCUAGGGGCCUAAGCCCAUUCUAGUGGGAAUUUGAGUGGCUCGGGAUAGAAACUCUUUGACUGCGAAGCUGAAAAUUAAUUUAAAUUAAUUUAAGUUAUAGGUUGUUCAGCUUUUACAGGAGAGUCUCA
Molecule: long non-coding RNA, 71854 nt
Filed under: Vitis vinifera (wine grape)
Lineage: Eukaryota; Viridiplantae; Streptophyta; Magnoliopsida; Vitales; Vitaceae
Description: long non-coding RNA (VVIN_LNC004573)
Source: RNAcentral